Molecule: long non-coding RNA, 74051 nt
Filed under: Vitis vinifera (wine grape)
Lineage: Eukaryota; Viridiplantae; Streptophyta; Magnoliopsida; Vitales; Vitaceae
Description: long non-coding RNA (VVIN_LNC004948)
Source: RNAcentral
AACUUAAGAUUCAUGCCAGAAUGCCUGUCAUAUAUUCAUCAUCAUAUGGCAUUUGAGCUGUAUGGUAUGCUGGCUGGGAAUGUCAGUCCCAUGAUAGGUGAACAUGUGAAACCAGCCUGUGGAGGUGAAGAAGAGGCUUUCUUAAAGAAAGUGGUUACUCCUAUCUAUGAAGUGAUCGCAAAGGAAGUUGAUAGGAACGAAAGGGGAAAAUCUAAGCAUUCCCAAUGGAGGAACUAUGAUGAUUUAAAUGAAUACUUCUGGUCAGUUGAUUGCUUCCGACUAUGUUGGCCAAUGCGUGCAGAUGCCGAUUUCUUUUAUCUGCCUAUAGAAGAGAUCCAUUGGGAAAGAAAUGGGGAUGGCAAACCAACUACCAGAGAGCGCUGGAUGGGAAAAGUUAAUUUUGUUGAGAUACGUUCCUCUUGGAAUAUUUUCAGAAGCUUUGAUAGAAUGUGGAGUUUCUUCAUUUGUGCUUACGGGCCAUGAUAAUUGUUGCUUGGAAUGGUUUGGGGGAACCAAGUUCAAUCUUUAGUGGCGAUGUUUUCAAGAAAGUACUGAGUGUCUUUAUAACUGCUGCAAUACUGGCAGUCUCCUCUAUGAAGAUGAGUUCAUCAAGUAUCUCAAAGACUAUCCAGGUCAGUUUAGAUAAAACAUGGCUCUUAUCAGAAGACAAAAGAGAAAGAAUGGAGGCAAGAUGCAGGUUCAGAAUAAGAUUGAGGAAUAGUGAUGAGAUUUUCAAGCUCUUGAAUGGUGGAAUCUAUAUACACUUUUACGGGCUUGAGGAAAUGAUGUUUAGGAUCCAAGAAACUCUUAAGAGAGUUAUAGACCAGAGAGGAGAAAACCGGAAAGAGAAGCUGCAGGAAGAAACACUCAUUGCAUGGUGUGCCAUAUGUAUGGCCACCUUUCGGGCCACGUGUUACCUACUGUUUCCUCAUCUUCGACUAAAACCCUUUUUUGUAAAUAAUCUUCAAAUUUUGGUUUUUAAAUAAUCCUAAUUCCACAUUUUUCUUCAUCCUUGGAGUUUUUAGGUUCCAAAAACCUAUUUCCCAAUAAAAUUUGGCCAUCAUUUUCUUUCCGGCAAGCCACUUUCGAAUUUUCUUUGAUUUUCAAAAUGUUUUAAGUGUGAAUUUAUUUUCAUAAUUCUAAGUGAUAGAAUUUAUGAAAUUGAUUCACUCAAAAAUAAAUUGGGCUUUGGCGGGGGCCCAACAUUAUUGGAUGUUUCCCUUGAAAAUCAAUUUGAUUGAAUUGUGAUAUAUGAUGAUUUCGUACUCGAUUUAGUGGCACGUGAGCUAUGUUUUAUGACCAUUAUUUGUGCAUUAAUCUCAUUUCUUGAUAGCUCAUUGUGGCUCGUCGCCCAGGUACAUAUCUACUCGCAUCCUAGUCAUUCUCUAUGCAUGUUCUGAUUCUCAUAUAUGCAUGAUCGUUCUAUGUAUUCAUUGAUUGACUCAUCAAUUGCCAUAAUUGCUUCAUUUUAUUAGUAGGGACCCGUUUUUAGAGACUUAGAGGGAUGCUACGGUCUUCAUCGUACCUUCCUGAUAAGUAACCUAACCCCCGAACCCGAUCCUGUUUUUCAUAGACCACAUUUUCCAAAAUAAGGAGUCACACUUGGAGUUUUCUUUCUUAUUUUGGUUACCCUUUAAAAAUAAAACAAAAAUAAGUGGCGACUCCAAGUCAUUUUCUUAAUAAAUAAAAUCAUUUUCAAAUAAAAUCAAGCUUACCAUCGAGUGGAAACUCAUGAGCCGAAAUGUAGGGUUCACAAUAUCUAUUUUAUAUAUAAAACCUAUUUUUUUAUUUAUAAAAACAUAUUUUAUUUAUUUAAAAAAUAAAAUUUAUUUUUUAAAGAAAUGUCAUAUUGUAGACUCCUUCAUAUGGGGGACAUUUCUCUUGUUUUUUUUUUCUUCUUCUCUUCUUCUUCUUCAUCAACCCGAGAAUAGGCUGUAUGACUACAACAAAGUACAUGAUCAUGGAUGAAAUGUUUUGUCUCCAACAAUAUGCCUUUUGUAGCCAAAAGGCUUUCCUAACGAAAAGUUUCGUCUCGUUCAUUGUCUCGAUAUUUGUGUCACCCUAUGUUUUUGGAGACGAAUAAUUAACGUUUGUUACGAAAACAUAUUUAUGACAAAACAAAAUUUUGUGGCCGACACUAUUUGGAAACGAGUUUUUUUUGUGGCCUAAGAUAAAAUGUUUCGUUUGGAAUUAGAUUUUCAAAUAUCGAGUAAACUAUUUGGUAACAAAAUAUUUCAUUUGGCAACAAAAAAAUUUUGUCACUACAUGUUACUUUGUACAUUAGGAGACAAACUAUUUUCAUCUCCAUUAUGUUGACACAUGGUUUCUACAACGAAAUAAUUUUAUCUCCAUAUAUUUCCACUUAUAUUUGGGGAGGAAAUAUUUUCGUCUCAAAUUGUUGACAAUUAGUUUGGGUAACAAACAAAUUUUGUCUCUAAAUGUUACUUCAUAUAUUAGGAGACAAUUUUUUCAUCUCCAUCAUGUUAACCCAUAGUUUCUACAACGAAAUAAUUUUAUCUCCAUAUACUUCCACUUACAUUUGGGGAGAAACUAUUUUUGUCCCAAAAUGUUGACAGAUAGUUUGAGUAACAAACAAAUUUUGUCUCUAAAUGUUUCAAUUACAAUUGGAGACAAAAUGAUUUCAUCUUGAAAAACUAAUAAUGUUUAGGCAAUAAAAUAAUUUUAUCUCGAAUUCAUAUAGGAGAUGAAAUAAUGAAACGAAGUUCCUCUUUGUAUUAUUUUCGAAUGAAAUAAUUUCCUCUCUAUAUAAUAUUAUUGUUAAUUUUUAAAAUUUUAAAUAAUCCUAUUGAAACCUACAUAAACCUAUAUGAUAUUGAAAGAUUUCAAAUAUACAAUGAUAUUAUAUAAAUAAAACAUUUAAUAAUGUAAAAAUAGAAUAAUAUAUAGAAAAUAAGUAAACAUUAAAACAUUUGUUUCAUCAAUGCAAAACAUACGUACAAAUAACAUUUUCCAAGUACCAUUCGAAUAUUGUCUAAAAUAAAAGUGACCAAUAAAUAAUAGCAAACCACAUAAUAAUAUCAACUCGAUGGUGACGAUGGUGGUUGGGAAGUUGAGCUAGAAUGAGGUGGUGGUUGGUUAGAAGUGUUAGUUUGUUGUGGCAUCAAUGUCUGGAUCAUUGCCUUUAAUUCCUCCAAUUGAGUGGUAGCUGUUGUUUUAAACUCCUCUAACUUUGUGAUUUGUUGUCUUAACCUCUCUGUUUCUUCAUCAGGAAAUUCAGUUGUAGUCGAAUGCUUAAGUCGUGACCCAUAUCCCAAACCUCGAAUAUAACCUGAUCGCUUCCCUAGUACUCUUUGAGUUAUCUCCAAGUCAGAGAUAGGAGUAUCUCCAUCUUGGGUACUUUGCUCUUGAAGCUUACGCAUCUCUUCCUAAGAAAUAUAGUUUUCAAUUAGUGAACAUGUUACAUAGCAUAUAAUGAAAAGAAAAUUUUAAUUUUUGCAACUACAAGUAACAUGACUCUUACAUAUCGAGAUUUAGUUGUGUCAUUGAUCCAUCCUUUACUUUCAUUGUAGUGAGUGGCACGAAAUAACUCCACUUCCCCUUGCAACUCUCCAGUGGCAACACUCUUUUACAUGCACAUAAAAAAAUAAUUUAGUUAUUUUUAAAGAUAAGUAAUAAACUCCCUUUUCAACUUUCUAGGUGGAACAUGUCUUUUAAAUAAAUAGUAUAAAAUAAAACUAUUAUUUUAAAGAUAUAAUUUAGAAAAAUAUGUCAUACCAUUGAGUUAUGCUGACGAUGAAAUGCAAAUGGUUUAGAUCCACCACGAUGAUUGAAUGGAAGCUUUUCACAAAUUUCACUAUUUAUAGUAGCCCUUUUCUACACAAUAAUAUUACUAAAAGAGUAAGUAAAAGAAAAUGAAACAAAUUAUAGUAACCUAAGAAUUAAGAAAAUAUGUUAAAUAAAAACUUUACAAACAAUGAAACAUGUAAUAAAAUGUAGUCUUUCUACCACGAUUUUAGUAAAAUCUUCUCCAUUAUUUAUACUAUAUAUAUAUAUAUAUAUAUAUAUAUAUAUAUAUAUAUAUUCUCAUAUACAAAAUGUUAAUUUUUGGUAAUAAACCAACAUUCCAAUACAUAUAACAUUUCAAUAAUUCAUGGUAAACAAACAUUCUAAUAUAAUAUUUUAAUUAUUCAUAAGGAACCAACAAUCCAACACAACAUUUCAAUUUUCAACUUGUUUCAAGUGACAAAUUCCUACUUUUUUACUUCAAAAUAUACCAAAUACCAAUGAUCAAGAUGCUCUAGUAUACCCACACAACAUCAAAUAUGUUUACUAUUUCAUAUGUAAUUAUGUUAAAUAUGCACAGUACCUUAAAUUUUUCAAGAGAAAAAAGAUUGCACAAGUAAUCCCAAUCUUCUUGUGUGACAUCAUCUGGCGGGUGCAAACGUGCCUCCUCCACUGUCUCAAACUGCUUGAAAUGCUGGUGAAGAUCAUAUCUAUAUGUUCGAUAAUGUUGUCCCAUAAUCUCAUGCACAUACUUUGUAAUGUAUGUUUUUGACAUAUCUGGAUCAAAUUUUGACUGAAAUUUAAAAUAAAAAUAAAAUAAAAAGCAUUAUAAUGUGUUAGUAUAAUUAUAGAUUAACUAAUUAAUUAAAACAUUUUUAACUAAUAAGAACUCUUACUAAAAGGCGAUCAACUAAUGGUUGUGUAUCCAUAGCUGGAAUAGCUGACCAUUUCUCGAAUUGUAGUGGAGCAAAUUUUCUAAUGAGAUAGCCACACUCAUUAGAAAACUUUGCAGAUUUAUCACUAUCUUUUGGUCUUCCACUCUCUGUGUUGAAAUCUAACUUUUUCCCUGACAUUUGUACAAUAGUAUCUGUGCCCUUACCUCUUGUAGGUCCACGACCCUUCUUUAAUGGUGGAUAUGAAUCUACAAUUUAAAAACAAAGUUAGAAUGCAUAGUUAAUGAUAAAAAUAAAAACAAAAACUUAAAAAAUGUAUUCUUACCAGUGCUAUUCCUAACUAUUGUCUGCAUUGAUGAUGACAUAUUACUAUUAGUAGGAGUAGGAGUUGAAGAAAUUGGAGGGGAAGGAAGAGGUGGUGGUGGUGGUAGUGGAGGAGGAGGAGGAGGAGGAGGAGGAGGAGGAGGAGGAGGAGGAGAGACAACCCUAAUAGUGGUUUUAGUAUGAUUAUUCAUAUUCUUGGGGGGAGCUUGAGACUUAGUGUUAGAAGUAUAUUUAAGGCGACGUCGAUUUCCACGCUCCAUCUAUGAUAAUACUUCCUGCACUAAAUUCAAUUAGACAAAUACAUAGUUACAUAAAAUAUUUUCAUUUAUGUUCUUCAAUUCCACAAAAGAUGUGAUAAAUGAGAUUUUAAAAAAAUUUAGUUUAGGGGAUACAUCAUGUAUAUGCAUUAAAUAAAUAACUCAAAUUGUAAUGAAAUAAAAACAAUAAGAUGAUAAACAAGAAAAGUCUAACUGAAAUUGACAUUAAAAUAAUAAAACUAACUAUCACUAUCACUAUCAUGAUCUUCUUCAUCACUAUUUUCAUUAUCCUCACUACAAUAGUCUACAAGUGUUUCAUCUUCUUCAUCUUGGUCAUUUAUGAAAGCAGUUAAAUCAUCAUUUUCAAAUCUUCUCCCAUGAUCAACCACAUUUUCAAUAUCAAUAUAGCUUGGAUCACCAUCUGGCCUUUGAUAUUGUAUAACAUUACAAUCUUGGUUUACUGACCAAACAAUAUCAGUUGAAUCAUUUUCUUGAUAUGCUUCUUCUAUUGUUGGAUCUUCAUUAUCAUUUUCACUAUCAUUUGUUGUAGUUUGCUCUGGGACAUCAAAUAUGUGUCUAUGAAGUACUUUUUGCACCACUUUCCAACUUGAUCCUAACUUUGGAUCAUUUACGUAAAAGAUUUGUUGUGCUUGGCUUGCAAGAACAUAAGGAUCUUCUUCAUACCACUUAUUAUCCACGUUAAUGCACCUAAGGACACCAUCAUCUUGCAAUCUCUUUUUAUUGGGAUCAGUAUCAAACCAUUCACACUUGAAUAGAACAACUUGGUUGUUGAAGAUAUAAUCUAACACAACAACAUUUAGCAACACACCAUAGAAAUCAAUCAUAUCCUCAUAAUGGUCACCCAAUACAAGAACACCACUAUUUUGAGUCGUGUGUCGAUCAUCUCGAUCUUUAGUGUGAAAUCGAAUUCCAUUUACCACACAACUAUGAUAUAAAGAUACUCUACGAUCAGGUCCAGAGGCUAAUGAAUACAACUCAUCAGUAGCUUCUGGUGAUCCUUGAUGGCGUAAUAUUUUCAUCUGCAUAAUUGAGAAGAUAUGUAAUUAAGAAUAUCAUUCUAAUUAAAUUUGUUUAAGAGAAAAAAUGUCUUUAGAUAUACAUACAUGAUUCGCAAACCACUUUGGGAAUAGCUGUUUUUGCCUUUGAAAUAAAUUAUCAUUGGUUUCCUUUUCCAACUGCUCCAUGUGUUCACUAGUUGUACACACUUUUGUUAGUACACUGCAUUAAUUAGCUAUUGAGUCAUAAAUAAUUAUAAAUGGUUGCAAAAAUAAUUUUAUGUCUUACCAUAAAUAUGAUUGUAGUUCUUUACAGUUGUUCAAAAUAUACCAGUGAGCUUUCUCUAUUUCGGCACGAGAGAACUCAAGCUGCUGGUAACUUCCAAAUGGGCGAGCUCUUUGAGAAAAAACAGAAAACCCAUUUGACUGAUCAUUCAAAUCAUCAACAUUUCGAUCUGGUCGAUUAAAUUUAGUCUCAAUUCCAAGAAGAUAUUGAGAACAAAAUGUUAAUGAUUCAUUCACAAUAUAAGCCUCUGCUAUUGAACCUUCUGGGUAAGCCUUAUUUCUUACAUAACUCUUAUAAGUCGAUAAAAUCCUGAAUAAAAGCAAAGGUUAUUGAAACAUUAUUCAAAUUGUUAAAGAAAUUAAUUUUUAAAAUUGAAUAUAAAGUUUAUAAAUAUUACCUUUCAAUAGGAUACAUCCAUCUAAGUCCAACAAGUCCAGCAAGUUUUGCCUCAUGUGGUAAAUGUACAAGUAAAUGAACCAUAACAUCAAAAAAAGUAGGUGGAAAGAUCCUCUCAAGCUUACAAAGAAUCAACACAAUAUCAUGUUCUAAUAUUUCCAAAUCUUGUAUCCUCAAUGAUUUUGCACAUAACUUUUGGAAAAAACAUGAGAGUUCUAUAAGUGUUGUACUAAUAUCCUUCCUUAGAAAUUUACGGAUUCCAAUUGGGAGAAGUCGUUGGAGCAACACAUGGCAAUCAUGACUUUUGAGACCUAAUAUCUUUCCAUUCACACGCUUUGAAAUAUUUGCGGCAUAUCCAUCAGGAAACUUGAUUGAUUUCAAAAAAGCACAAAAUUCUCUUCUUUUCAUUGAUGUUAAUGUGUAGCAUGCAUGAGGCUUCAAGUAUUUGUUACCAUGCAACACUAAAUGCAACUCCUUUCUUAUUUUCAUGUCUUGUAAAUCUAAUCGAGCUUUAUAUGUGUCCUUUGUCUUCCCUUCAAUAUUCAACAGUGUCCCCAUCACAUUGUCACAUACAUUUUUCUCAAUAUGCAUAACAUCAAGAAUAUGUCUUAUACUUAAUUUUGACUAAUAUUCCAAUUCAAAAAAAUAUACUUCUCUUGGUCCAAUUUAAUUCACUAGGUAUUCGCUUCCUUUUCUUAUCUUUUUUGUUUGGAUUCUUACCCAAAAUAACAUGAUCAACAUUUUCUAAUUGCUGCAAUAUGUCAUCACCAGAAAAACUUUGGGGUGCUGGAUUCAUUUCCAACUUACCAUCAUGCAAUCUACUUUUACGCCAAGGAUGAUUAGUCUGCAUAUAACGACGAUGGCCCAUAUAACAUAUUUUGCUUCUCAAUGAUUGAGAUGAUGUGUCAACAUUGCAAACAGGGCAAGCCAUGUAACCUUUGGUACUCCAACCGGAUAACAUGGCAUACGCAGGAAAAUCAUUUAUUGUCCAUAAAAUUGCUGCAUGCAUUUUAAAAUAUUGACCAAUAGAGACAUCAUAAGUCUCUAUGCCAUCAUGCCAUAACUCUUUGAGUUCAUCAAUUAAUGGGCGUAAGUAAACGUCAAUUUCUUUUCCAGGAGAAUGUGGACCCGGAAUCAAAAGUGACAUCAUUAAGAAUGGUUCUUUCAUGCAUUUCCAAGGAGGCAAGUUAUAUGGCACUAGUAUAAUAGGCCACAUACUAUAUGAGUGACUCUUGUUACCAAAUGGAUUAAAACCAUCUGAUGAAAGACCUAACCUCACAUUUCUUGAUUCACUACUAAAAGAGGGGUACAUUCUAUCAAACGACUUCCAUGCUUCAGCAUCAGCCGGAUGCCUUAGCACACCAUCAUCUACUCGCUUUUCUUUAUGCCACCUCAUAUCACUUGCUGUAUGCCUUGACAUAAAUAGUCUUUGUAAUCUUGGUUUAAGAGGAAAAAAUCGCAAGCUUUUAUGUGGGAUUUUCUUGCCCUUACCAUCAUUAAUCUUAUAUCGAUCCUCAUCACAUAUAGGACAUUUAUCUAAAAAUUCAUUCUCUUUCCAAAACAAUGCACAAUCAAACUUGCAAGCAUGAAUUUUUUCAUACCCUAAACCCAAAUCCCGUAACAUCUUCUUAGCAUCAUAUGUACAUGAUGGAAGAUUUGUACCUUCAGGAAAUAUCUCACUUAACAAUUCAAGUAACAUAUCAAAUGAUUUAUUACUCCAAUGGUUAAGAACCUUUAGAUGCAUCAAUUUAACAAUGAAUGUCAAAGAUGAAAAUUUAGACCCUGUAAACAACUUUUUUCUAGCUUCACCUAACAACUCAUCAAAAUGUUUGGUCUCUACAUUAGUUGCCUUAGAUGUAGCAUCUCUAUUUGGUAUUGGGCCACAAACAUCACUCAAAAGUUCAAUCAUUUCAUCAUCGUCGUCAACAUCAUCAUUAACAGUAAAAGUUUCAUGAUGAUCUAACCUAUUAGGGCCACUCAUAUAAUUUCUUUCAUUGUAAUCAACACUAACUUUUUCUCCAUGAAAAAUCCAUCUUUGAUAUGUUGUGGCUAUUCCGUAUUUAUAUAAGUGGGUUUCAAUGUCAUAUAUGGAUUUCCAAAAUGCAUUCUGACAAUGUUUACAUGGACAACGAGUCUUUCCAUUUUGAUCCACAUGAUUUUUUGCAACUUGAAGAAAUGUUUUAACACCAGUUGCAUAUUCAUCUGACAAUCUAUCACAAAGAUUCAUCCAACUUUUAUCCAUUAGUCAAACUUGUAUGAUGCAACUCUUAUUCAAUUAUUUUUUAAAUUGUAAAAGCAUAUAAAAUAUAAUAUUAAAGCAAUAUUAACCUUAAUAACAACAAUAAUACAAAUAUAGAUAUUUAAUCUUAUUCAAUUAUUUUUUAAAUUGUAAAAGCGUAUAAAAUAUAAUAUUAAAGCAAUAUUAACCUUAAUAACAACAAUAAUACAAAUAUAGAUAUUUAAUCAUAUUCAAUUAUUUUUAAAAUUGUAAAAGCAUAUUAAAUAUAAUAUUAAAGCAAUAUUAACCUUAAUAACAACAAUAAUACAAAUAUAGAUAUUUAAUCUUAUUCAAUUAUUUUUUAAAUUGUAAAAGCAUAUAAAAUAUAAUAUUAAAGCAAUAUUAACCUUAAUAACAACAAUAAUACAAAUAUAGAUAUUUAAGUGAUUAAUUGAAUGUCUAUAGUAAAUAAAAUAAGAUUAAUAGCAUUUUAUUAGAACUAUUAAAAGAGAUGAAAAUUUAAUUAAUAAAAAGACUAUUUAUGUAACUAAUAACAUACCUAAAAAUAUAAAGUAGUGAUAACAUACCUGAUUUGCUUUUUUUUCAAUGUUGUAGAACACCAAGAUCAGCAACAGCAGCAGCCUAUGAUGAGCAACAGAAGUAGUUGAUGGCAGUCCGUGGUGAUGGACAAUGAAUAUGGUGAUGGUUUUGAAAUAAUGGAGAUGUUAUUUAAGGAGAAGCAGGAUGGAGGAUUUUUGUGGAGAGUUUAGGAAAGCUUUUUAUUCUGAUUUCUUUUUUUUUUUAUUUUUGUUUCCAUUUAAUAUUUUACAAAUUUUUUUUUUGAUAGGCAAUUUAAUAUUUUACAAUAUUACUUACCAAUUCUUUAAAUAUUUUCCAAUUUUGAAGUAAAAAAUUUUAGGAUAGUUUUUUUAUAACCAAUGAGAACAUAGAAAACCAAAUUGCUCUAUUAUACCCAACAAACACACAAUAAAACCAAACCAAAAACCUAAAUUAUCACCAGAGAGCAACAUACUACCAAAAAAAAAAAAAAAAAACGACAUAUUACCAAGAAAAAAAAGCUUUCAACACAAUUUUUUUUAGUUAAACCCGAGAAAAACAAUACCUAGAGCGUGGCAACUCACUUGACAGCUGCUCACGCGGAUUCUGUAGAGCCUCCCGAAGAAACUGAUCCAUUUGGUUGAUAGAGUCCUCAGAAAUCAUCCCAAAACCAACCAGAACUAACGAAGACGACAAAGCCGGAGCAGAAGCAAAAGCUGAAGCUGGUACCGAGGCAUUGAGAAAGGAAGAGGAAGAGGAAUCUUUCUUGGAUGAUGAAGAGGAGAGCAUCAAUAUGCUCAUGCUCUCGUCCAAAUCAGCGACCUCCCAAGACUCAGGGGCUCCGAGAUCGUGGAUGUAAAACAUAAGGUUGUGUUUUUCAGAUCAUGAUUUGCAAGCAAAGGUUGUGAAAUUUAAAUCCAAUGGUACAAAAUCAAAGCAAUCCCUAGAACAGAUCCAGAAUACACAUGAAGCAAAAAAAAAAAAAAAACGAGAAUGAAUUUUCCCAAAAAUCGAAUGAGGGAUGGAUUUUCUUGGAAUCAAACGGAGGUUGCAAAAAACGAAAAUAGUAGUAAUAAAAUUAAUUAAAACCGCCUAGUCACCAGCAUCUGGGAGGAGGAGGAGGCGGCGGCCCCGGCCCGACGUGGCUCAACAACGCAAUUCUGCGGCAGCAGAGUCAAUACUCCAAUGGGAGCUUCCUCCACUUGCAGACGAAUUCGGAUUCGACGUCAUCUCCGGCGAUGGCCACGACGACGACCAACCAGUGGCUCUUGCGAUCGAUGAGCAACGUGGCCGCCCAAAAUGACGACGUUCCGGUGUCUAGCGGGUCCGUGAUUGCUGCUAUAUCGACGGAUUUGAACGGUAAUAAGGAGAAGAGAAACGGAGGGAACAAUCAGAACCGGGGCGAUAACAGUGGUGAGGACAUGCUGGAUUGUGAUUCUUGGAAUCAAACGGAGGUUGCAAAAAAAAGAAAAUAGUAGUAAUAACAUGAUUAGAUUAGUACCUGCGAGGAUUGAGAGUGGAAGAGGAAAAUAGGGCCUUUUUAGGGAUUCUCGGGUCUAGAGGGCAACUUCUAAAAAGAGGUUCUUGAUGCCCGAGUGAAAAAAGUGGUUGGGUGGCCCUUUUGAUUUUUAAAUUUAGUAGAAAGAAAAAAAAAGAAGAUAAAUCAUGAGAACAAAUAUAAAUAAUUAUUAAUUAUCAUCUUUAUUUUAAAGUAUCAUGAAACUUUCUCAAAAAACAAAUAAAUCAUGUUAAGCAUUCAAUAGUAUAAAUAAAUUUAAAAGUGAUAAAUUUAUUUUGAAAAUGGAAAAUGCAUUUUAAUGGGGAUGAAAUAGUUUUGUCUCCAAUAUUGAGUUUUUACAAUAAAACAAUUUCUUCUCCAAUAAUUCUCUUUGUUCAUUCAUCUAGUGGUAUUAGGACAAUAUUUUUGUCUCCCAUUAUUAGGAUUUUUCUCUCCAAAAUUAUUUUACAACAACAUAAUUUUGUUACCCAUUAUUUACCUUUUGGGACGAUACUAGCUUUUUGUCUCCCAAUAUAUUUUGCACCAUGAACUAUUUUGUUGUUAAAAAUUAUGAUGUCGUCACAAAUAAUUUGGCCUCAUUUUACAUUCAAUUAAAACUUUAGACACAAAUUUUCGUAACAAACUCAAAUUUCGUCUCCUAAUAUCAUCUUUAGAGAUGAAAUUAUAUUCAUGGCCAAAAAAUUUGUGGCUGAAGGUCAAAUUUCUUGUAGUUAUGGGGCGGUUGGAUAGGACUGGGAGUGAAAGAAAGCAGUUAAUGAAUGAGCUGUUCUUGAGCAGCCAAGAAGACGACGACUUGAAGUGAAAGAAAAGCAGCCGAUGGGUGAGUUGCUUGGUACAGAGGGGACAAUUGAGAAGAGAGGAGACACAACCGUUUGGAAAUGAAGGACAACUGAACAAAAGAUGGCUAGUUAUAGAGCGGCAGAGUGAUAGCUUAGGAAAAAGAGAUUUUUUCUGAAGGAGAAAAAUACGUUUUUUGAGAGCGAGGAACGGGUUCGAGGAUACAAGGGAGAGUUUUGAAUGGAGGGGUAGAGAGCUUGAAGAGGAGAAAAAAAACAGAGUUUCACAGAGGGAAGUAGAGGGUUGCUUGAGAAGAGCUUUUCCAGGUAUGACAACUAUAACUUCUUUGUUGUCUCAUUUUUGCACGACUUUAUCCUCAUUUUAAGCUGUCUUCCUAAGCAUCAAUUUGUUUUGGUGUGGAUAGGAAGAGCCACUUGUUUGUCAUGGUUAAAUCUAGUCUUCUGUGUGCAUGCUUCAUUUUUUUUUUUUAGGGUUUUCCUUGCCUUUCCGCUGCACAAGAUUGAUGGAUGAGUUCAUUUUUGAACUUGAUAUAUGAGCCUCUUGUUUAUUUUCUUCGUUAAUUUCACUCGUCUUGAGCUCAUGGGCGGCACCAGAAAUGGGGCUCUGUACCAUUAUGUGUUUCAUGUUCUUGCAUUUGCUUAAUCCUCAUCGUUCAUUCUAGUUAUUGUCCUUGAUGCUACUCUUACAUUUGUGCUAUGUUUGGUGAGUUGUUCGAUCAGGAGCUUGGUGAAAAUGAGGGGAGCCAUGUUUGUGGUUUUUAUUCUCCUGCUGAUAGUUUGUGCUCCAAAAGGAAAAUGAGGUGGUGGGUUUUCAAGAAAGUUGCAAAAAAUUGUAAUCUCUGUAUUUGACUUAGAAGACUCAUCGAGGGCUUAUGCUGAGUUAUUGGGAAAGGGUACAUUUGGCAACUUACAAGGUGAUUUUUGAGGAUAACUCUAGACGCAGCAAGAGGAAUCGCUUCUAUCCAUGUAGGGAAUGCUAAGAAGCUUAACCAUGCAUGCAUGGUCAUCCCACUUCUCUCACACUUUUCUCCAUCCAUUCCAUUAAUGGCAACCCACACCUCUCUCACCUAUCCAUCAUGCCCAUUGUUGCAUCUGGUUCCAUCACCGAACCCAUUUUUCCUUACCAUUUUUAGUUCCACUCGACUCUUAAUCCCAUAAACUCACCUCCCUCACCAGCUUUUCUAUCAUUUCCAAACCCACUAAACAUGUCAUCUCCAUACCCAUUUUCUAACGCCCAUUAACCCACUUCUCUCUCUACAUCAUCACCCAUACCCAUUAAACCCAUGCCCCACAUGUUUGCAUGGCCACAUGAACCUUUGCAAACGUCUCCACCAUUCCCCCCUCCCAGCCCUCAUAUUCCAUUUUGCCCAUCACCAUGCCCAUAACCAUACUCACACCCAAGCUCACCACCUCAUCAUUCCUAACCUUCCAUGCAUAUUAGCAUUUCUUUAAUACUCUCUAACCCACUUCAACCUUCAUCUCUCAUCCAUCCUAUCCUUCAUCAAACCCAUCGCUUCACACCCAUCAAACUCUUCAUACUCGUUUUCUCUCUCUACAUUUCUCACUAAUACCCAUUUUUGGCUCAUUUCCUCCAUUUUAUCAUGUACAUGAAGUCCCAUGCAUGUGCCCAUCUUCGACUCAUCAUUUUCCUAAAUUUCAUGCCCGUCGCUAUGUCCCAUAUCUCUAUCUUGCAUUCCACCAUCAAAACCACUUCUUUCAAUACCCUAUAAACCCACUUAAUCUCACCACCCUUCCCUUUGUCUCGACCUCCAAGUCUAUCAUUCUCACUGCUUCAUUCACUCGAAUUUCUUCCCGUUCCUUCUCAUGUAAUGCGCAGCCCAUGCAUGCUUAUUCCUUACCUUGAUGCCUUCCAUACUCGGUGGCCUCCGCAUGCCAUGGUAAGGAUAGAAGAUACAUCCCCACACAUUUUUCCAAUCAACCAUUCCAUCCCGAUCUUGCACGCACACAGGUUUAGCCACUAUGGCCGCCAAGAGGCUAAAAGAGUUGCUAAAAACUCGCAAGCUUUUAGUGCGUGAAAACUCAAGUAUUACUAAUGGAAAUGGAACAAACGGGCAGAGCAAUGAGAAGUCUCUAUGACGUUGGCUGGGUCAUGAGCUAGAAGUCAUGGUGAAUGUGCAUGAAGUUUGUUUUGAAUAUAAAAAGCAAAGGGUAUCUUCACUCAAUCGAGUUGUAGAAGCUGCUCCACGUAAAGUGAUUCCGCUCCCCACAACAGGAAAAGUGGAACUACGGGAGGUCCUAAAGCUAUUCCAUGGACUCAAGUUUCUCCAAUUCGAUAUGCCGCUGAUGCAUGAGCACAGUCCAAUAUUCAAGUUGGAGAUGUCCUUUGUUGGCCCACAAAUUUAGGAUGGAUGAUCGGACCUUCUAUACUUUAUGCAUCAUUUCUAACCGGUGCAGCUCUAGCUCUCUAUGAUGGAUCUCCUCUUGACCGCGACUUUGGAAAAUUUGUUCAGGAUGUGGGGGUAACUAUCUUGGGUGCAGUUUUGAGUCUAGUGAAGACUUGGAAGAAUACGAGAUGUAUGGAAGACUUAGAUUGGACAAAGAUAAAGUCAUCUGCUCCCACUAGAGAAACAUCCAACUUUGAUGAUGACCUUUGGCUUUCUUCAAGGGCUCAUUAUAAACCUAUUAUUGAAUGUUGAUGAGGCACAGAGCUUGUUUCAAGCUACAUCCAAGGAAGUAUGUUGCCACCGCAAGCUUUCAGAGCAUUUAGCACCACUGCGAUAACAACAAGCUUUGUCAUUCUAGAUGAAAAUGGUGUUCCCUAUCCAGGCGAUCAACCUUGUGUCGGUGAAGUGGGUUUGUUCCUUCUAAUCAUGGGAGUAAUUGAUCGGUUACUAAAUGCUAACCAUAAGGAGAUCUACUUCAAGGGAAUGUUAGUGUAACAAGAAAUAUAUCUUAGGAGACAUGGGGACAUCUUUAAGAGAACUAUUGGAAGGCUACAAAUGCGGAAGUUGACUCCGCUUUUCAAAGUGGGCUCAUUGUAAAUAUUCCUCUAGAGUGGGCCCAGAAGAAAACACUCGCUGUAUGGCCACCUUUAGCAAGACCAUCUUUGGGGCCACGUGGCAUUCUCCCAUUUCCCCAUUUUUAAUUUUGAGAUAAUUCUCCAAACUUUAGUUUGUGAACAAUUUUCCAAAAUCUAGUUUUUUUUUUUUAAAAAUAAUUUUAAUUCCUCAAUUUUCUUUUCAUCCUUAGAUCUUUUUUUUAGGUCCCAAAAAUCCAUUUUCCAAUAAAAUUUGCUGCCCUUUUCUUUCUGGCAAGCAAUUUUCGCAUUUUCUCUGAUUUUUAAAAUAAACAAGAAUUAAAUUUCGUAAUUCCAAGCGAUGGAAUUUGUGGAAUUGAUUCAUGCAAAAAUAAAUUGGGCUUUGUUGGGGACCUAACAUCAGUGGAUGUUUCCUCUAAAAAUAAAUUUGAGUGAAGUACAUUGUGAUAUCUGAUGAUUUCUUACCCGAUUUAGUGGCAUGUGUGACAUAGUUUGUGUUCAUUAUUAUGCACUAACCCCAUUUCUUGAUAGCGCAUUAUGACUUUCCUGUUGAGGUACGCAUGCACUCUCAUUUUGGCCAUUCUUCACAGGUGUCUUGAUUCCCAUGCGAGUGAUCAUUUUUGGUAUCUCUUGAUCUACUAGUCAAUUGCCAUAUCUGUUUCAUUUUAUUAGUAGAGACCCAUUUUUAGGGACUUAGAGGGGUGCUAUGGUCUUUACCGUACCUUCUUGAUAAGUAACUUGACCCCCGAGCCCAAAUUUGGUUUUUCACGGACCAUAUUUUCCAAAUAAGGAGUCACACUUAGGGUUUUCUUUCUUAUUUUGUUUACCUUUUAAAAAUAAAAUCAAAUUAAGUGGAGACUCUAAGUCAUUUUUUAAAAAAUAAAUCAUUUUCAAAUAAAAAGCGAGUUCACCAUCGAGUAGAAGUGCAUGAGCCGAAAUGCAGGGUCCACACAUACACACUUAUUUUAUUUUAUUUUUUAUUCAAAUCUCCAAGGUUGUUGUUGGUUUCGAAAAGUAUUUAGGAAAGUAAAAAAUUAUUAAAGAAAAUGAUUUUUUCAUAUUUGAUUUACACAUGAAAAAUACGAAAGAAAAUAAAAUAUAAUUAAUAUUAAUUAAAAAUAAUUAAAAUUUUAAAUUAUUUAAUCAUCAUAUAAAAAAAGGAAAAAUAAGUGAUACGAGUUUUGAAGUAACACAUAAAAUAAUUAAUUUAUUUUAAAUCUAUUUUUUAUUUUCCUCUCUAUUUUUUUUCCUUCACAUUUUCCAAAACCAAAUAUAGCCUAAAAAUAUAUAUAUAAAUUUUAAAAAUAAAAUAAAUUUAUAAGGGUUAUUAACAAAAUUUGAAAUCAAGUGUGGUAUGUUUAUAUCAAACCUCAAAGGGAUUAAGUGAACUUAACCAUUAUUUAAUCUUAAUUUUAAAGAUUUUUAGAUUUUAUGCUAUCUUUUAAAAAAAAUUAAUUAUUGGAAUAUUUUACUUAUAUAUAACCUAUGUUUUUUAUGGUUUUAAAAGGUUAUUCUUAACUAUCAUACAAAAAAGUGGCUAAAAUAGGAGUUUUUCCUUUGUAUCUAGCAAUGAUCUAAUUUAUUAGUACUUAAUUUUUAUUUUUAUUUUGUAUUUUGUAUUUUUUCUUAUUUUAAUUUUAUUUAAAUCUCUCUCUUUUUUAUUUCUAUUGUUUUUUGAAUGGUUUAAAUCUAGUUAUACCUAUACUAAAUUUGUACCUUAAAAAUAUAUGAAGUAUACGUAAUAAUUUUUUAUAUUCAUUGAUUUAAAAUGAGAACAACCACCUUUAUUACCAAGUAAUGAAAUUGAUAGAAGUAAUUCAUAUUUGAAUGAAGUUUGAUUAUUUAAUUCUCGUUUUGAGGCAUCUUGAAGUGAACUUUACAAUAAAAGUAAUCUUUAAAAAAAAAAUUCCAAAUUUAGAUAAUUUUUUAAAUAUUUAUCAAACUAGUACUCUCUUACCAUAUAAGCAUAUAUUAUUACUUUUAUGUCAAAAUCACCGUUGAUGACUCUUAGUUUUAAAUUGGUGGUUUAUUUUUUGGCUGACUAAAAAAAAAAUAAAAUAUUUAGUUUUUUUUAAUUAAGUUAAAAGUAAUCUAUUGAUAUUAAUCUACAUAUAUAAAAUAAACUUGUUAUUAAUAGGUUCGAUUUAAUUAUAUUGAUUUAUAUUAAUAGAUUAUUUUUAAUUAAAUAAAAAAAACCAAAAAACAAAUACCACUUCAAAGUUCAAAUCAUAAUUAGUCAAUAUAGUUUUAACAAUAAAAGCACAAUCCCCAAUCAUGAUUUUGAUAUUAAAAAAAAAAAGAAAAAAAUAUAACAUGUCAAUAUUGAUGUGAUAAGAAGUAAUAGUUUGAAAAAUAUUUUUAAAAAUUGUGUAGAUUUUUUUUUAAUAAAAAAAAACUACAUGAGAGAUUAAGAAUUUGUUUAGAAAUUGUUUUUAAAUUAAUUUUUUGUUCUUUAGAACAAAAUCAAAGAAUAGGAAAACACGUUCAAUAACUAGAAAACAAAAAAUAGGGCAUUUUUAGAUAACAUUUUUUUAAAAAAAAAUUGUUUUCACUUAUCUUAUGAUUACUAUUUUAAAAAAUAAUUAUAAAAACAUGGAGAAUGACUAAAAAUAAAGUAAUAAAUAUAAAAAUUUAUUUUUAAAACAUUUAAAAAUAUAAAAAAUAGGUUAAAAACAUUUUUCGUUUCGACAAUCUUUUAAAAACUCUUCCUAAAUAGAGCUUAAAUUUGUGCAAACUCUUUGGAAUGUGUGUUUUUUAAAUGGUGGUUUGGGUUAGAAUGAUUUGUUGUCUAACUUCUUUUGAAAUUAACCAUAUAUACCUAUAGUAUCUUAGCAUGCUGCAGUUCCAUCAACAAGAUUUUCUUCACCCUUUGAAUAUUGAUAUUGAAUUUAAUAUUUAACGAUGUUUGAAUAGGUCUUCCAAACUUAUUUUUUAAAAAUGAUUUAUUAAUAUUUUAAAUCUACAAGGUUUUCUUCACCUUUUGAAUUUGAUAUUGAAUUUUAUUUUUAAUGAUGUUUGAAUGGGUCUUUCAAACUUAUUUUUUUUUAAAAUGAUUUAUUAAUAUUUUGAAAAUAUAACAAAUUCAAAUUUUAGUCAAAAUGUGAGUGAAAAUUUUUAAAAAUAUUAAAUCAUCCUUACUUUAACAAAAUCAUCUUUAAGAUAUAGUUUUUUAGAUAUAUUGUCAUCUUUAAGAUAUAGUUUUUGGAUAUAUCGAUUUGGUAAAAAUGAUAUUUGUUUUUAUUUUAUUUUUUAUAUUUAAAGACUAUAUUUAAUUGGUUGAACAUAAUAUGAGAUGGAAUAAGAGAUAGAGAUAAUACAUCUUAUUUGUUAGGUUGAGAUAGAUAAGAGUUGAGAUAUAUUAUUUCAAAUAUUUUUUACAUAUCGUAUUAAUAGAAUAUGGUAUAUAUUUCAAAUUGUAAGGUAAUUGUAAUUGACUCCAUUCAGUUCGCUACAAUAGAACUCAACCAUUAUACCUAUUUUGUUUGAUCUUAUAUACGAUCAAAUUUACCUGCCUAAAAGGAACAUGGACUCUAACUUAUUCACUUUUUCUACCAAAAUAAAUUGGAAAUAUUUCAAAACCGGUAAGCAUACAAUAAUCAGAAAGUGCAUAGUUUUUUUCCUAUGUUUUUUUCUAUAUAUAGAGAUACCAUUCUUUUAAAUAAUUCUAAUAACCAUCGAUGUGAAAAGGCAAUGUGCAUUAUACUUUUUAUUUAUUCUCUAUAAUAAAAGUAAGGAUGUAUUUUGUUAUGAUUCUUUGUUUAUCCUCAUUUGUUGAAAUAUUUACAAUAAUAUCAUUAGUAAUUUACAAAAACAAAACAACUUCUUCUCCAUCGUAUAGGGGUACUAUUAGCCCUUGAGACCUUUGACUCGGAUGAUGGAACUAAGGGCUUCAUGUUGCACCCAUGAGGCCUCUAAGAGGAAAGCAAGGAAAACUUAGAGGUUUAGUGGGACAACACUAAGGAAGCUAAGUGAGGAGACAACAUUAAUGUUGGUAAGCAGAGCACCCAUAGGAUGCAUGCCCAGGUCAUGGGCAUAGGUCGAGUGUACUAGGCGCUUGUGUGUGCAUAGCCUUGCACCUGUGUGCACAUCGUCCCUUGCCCAUGCACACACAUAGUUGCACCUGUGUGCGCAACACCUCGUACCCCUAUGGGCAUGAUGCACAUGCACUCCUAUGUACUUGCACACUUGGGUAUCUUUAGCACCUAGACACACACCCUAAGGCAACUAUGGUGAUGAUGCAAAUGGAAUAUGAGCUUGAUGGGGGCAUUUAUUUAUUUAUUAAAUAAUUCAUUAUGUCUCUUCAAGUAGGUUGGAUGUUUCCUCUACAAAUUUCCAAAACGACUCAAACUACUCUUCAAGGGAGGGGUAGGUGAUUCAAGGGGGCACCAAGGCCAAGCCUUGGUCACAUCAAGGGGGCACCAUGGCAUGGCCAUGGUAGUUAAAUGACAUGUUAGCAGGCACACAUGGGCUACAUGACAUGUGUGGCGUGCAACCCGUGGCCUCAAUAGAAGUGUGUGUGGUGAUACUUAUCAUUUUUGGACGAUAGUGCGAGAACACUCAAUUCAUGAAGGCAUGGGCGCAAUGCCAUGGCACGAUGGGGCAACAAGACACAUGACUUACUCAGAUUGGAUGGCUAUGCAUGGCAUAAGGGCAUAAUGCCCUAUGCAUGAGAGCAACUAAGCCAUGGACAUAAUACCAUGGCUCAUUAUAGUAACCAAGAUGACUUGGGGUGUUGUUGUAGCAAACACACCAAUAGGUAUGGUGAUGCAUGACAUGACACGAGCAAGACCCAAUGAAGGCCUUACAACAAAUGGAGCCCAACUUAGAUAGAAGCCCUUAAAAACCAUGGGCACCUUCACAUGGCAUGGGCUUGGCCAUUAGUGUGGGAAAGGUACAUUGAUGCAUUAGAGAGACCUAGACACAAUCACAUGGUUGAUUCAACAUGCUCGUUCAGAAGGGUUGGCAUCCUUUGGCUCAGAGGCAUCUUUGUGAGCACUUGACUAAUAAGAGGCACCUUGUGGGGCACCCAUCAAUAGAUUCACCUUAUACGAGUAGCUUGAAAUGAAUGAUUAGAAAAAGGCAUCUUGAGAAGUUGCAUUUAUUGGGAAAAUGCACAUGGAGUGCAACAACCUUGACAUAACAUGGAAAGAACAUAAAGAUUUUUGUUGGCUACAAAUGGCAUGAAGAGACACCUUGGUUUGAAAGGGUGUCUCUAAUUGGGUGGUUGUGACUGUUGCACAACCACCACUACCAAAAUUCUGAUUCAAAUUCAAGUGCAAAGGGAGGCAUUGUGUAUAAAUAGCCUCUUGAAUAUUAGAGAGACUAAGAUAGAGAAAGCUUGACGGGAUGUAAGCAUUGUGUGGGUUCUCUGACUCUUGUAUAAGUGUUGUGAUACUUGAACAAUUUUGUAAUCUCUUGUCAUUGAUCAAUAACACAAGUUGGGGCACUAAUUUUAUUGGGGGCAUUUAGGAAAGAUUGGCUAAGAAAGAGUUCUUAGCUUCGCACACUUAGGAAAAAAUUGGUGGUGAUUUUCUAUGGUGUGACAUGUACCAUCAUAAAUAAUUUGAAAAAUUAGGGACAAAUCUUUUUCAUUGGAUCAUCCACUCACCCUUUCUCCCACUCACUCCCCAUUACACUCUCACAUGUGACACAUGCAUUUUCAUAUUAGCUUAAACAUUUAACUAGCCAAAUAAAUUAAAAAGUUGUACGAUAAUAAUAAAAUUCAAUUUUAGAUGAUUUAAAAUGUGUUUGAUAGUAUUUCUACUCGAAAUAUUUUUAGUGAAAGUGUGUUUAAGGGAAUCACUUAUCAAAUGUUUCUUUAGAAAACACUAUAAGUGAUUUUUCAAUACAAGUAUUUUUCAUAUUUUUAAAAGUAUUUUCUAAAUUAUGUCAAAUACUUAAUUUUUUUAAACAACACUUUUUAGGCUAAAAGCGCUUCCUAGAAUUAUUGCCAAAUAGACUCUUAGGCUUUAAGUGUUUUUAAAAGGAAUUCUAAAAAUAAUUUUUUCUAAAUGUUUUUAAAACUUUAAGAAUUUGAAAUCUUUAUAACCUAUUAUGGACUUGCAUUUUUCAUGUGUUCCCACUCAAUGGCGAGACUCAUUUUAAAAUUUUUUUUUUUUGUGAAAAAAUUGGUUUUUAGAAAAAAAUGGAGUUGCCACUUUUUUUUUUUCUUUUUUAAGGAAAAAAAAUAAGAAAUAAAAUCUUAAAAAUGACUCUUGAUUUGAAAAAAUGUGUCUUUGAAAACCUGAGUUUAAGUUUGAGGGUCAGGUUACUUAUCGAGAAGGUACCAUAAUGGUAGUACCCCUCUAAGCCCUAAAAUUGGUAUCUACUAAAUGAGUUAAGGUAACUAUGGAAAUUGGUUGGUUAACCUAUGGAUACCAAACAAUACACAUAAUAUACAAUGACCAAAGCAUAUAUCGGAAAAUAAUCAUAUGAAUAAAAGUGGAGAGAAAUGUACUUGAGCAGCAAGUAAUAAUAUACUAUAAAAAGAAACAAGGUUAAAACAAAGUAAUAAGCAUAAAACAUCUAAUAUCCUAGAACAAGGCUAAAUCAAUCAUUUAUUCAAUAAACACAGUAUCUAGAAUCAAUUAAUAAAGGAGUACAUCAUGUAUAUUGAGUCUUACCGCCAUAUAUUUUAUUUCCGCAUGUAUUAAUUAUAUAAAUUCCAUUCAUUUAAGAAUUAUAAAAUUUAUUCAUGUUAUUAAUGUUGUGCAAAUCACGACAAAUAAUAAUAAUAAUAGGGAAAAAAGAAUAAGAAAAUGAAAAUCAAAACAUACAACAAUUUACAUGGUUCGGCCUUAAGCCUAUAUCCACGGGCAAGGACGAAGAACUUUCACUAUUGUUAAAGGAGAUUAUAACUCUUGAAACUCUCAAAUCUCAAAGCCCCAAUUUAUACCCAAAAAGAGACUUACUAUUUUGGUCAAAAUCCGUUCUUAUAUUUUUUUUUCCUAAUUACAAAGGAAGUUUCCAUAUGAAAAACAAAGUGUAUAAUUGUCAAAAAUACAUUUUCCUAAAAAGAUCUCAUAAUAGGAUAUUUCCUAUAAUAAUAGGAAACCCACUUUCAAGAAUAUCUUCUAUUAGGAAACUAUCAAUAACUUUCCAAAUUAACUCAAAAUAUAAUUUAAGACUCUUUCUAACAAUGUCCACCUUGGCUCAAAUUCCCAAGAUUCAAACAAACUUGAAAGUCUUCAAAGUUACUUCGCUCCCAUACCCCAUAGGGGCCUUCAGAUACUACUAAUACCAAUUAAGUCAAAGCAAUGCUUGAAUUUAAUUGUAGGAAUGAACUUAGUCAUCAUAUCUACGAGAUUGUCCACCGUAGAGAUUUUUUCACUAUAAUAGCACCCUGUGCAAUCGCAUCCCUAAUAAAAUCCGACAUCAAUAUGUUUGGUCAUCUCAUGGAACAUCUGAUUUUUAGUCAAAUAUAUGGCACUUUGGCCAUCAUAAUACACAACGGUUAAUUCCUAUUAUAAGCCUAAAUCGCUAACCAAACCCUUAUGCCAAAUAGCUUCUUUCAUUGCUUAUGUGGUUGCCAUCUAUUAUGCUUUAGUGGUUGAUAAAGCAAUUGUAGAUUGCAAAGUUGCUUUCCAACUAAUAACACUACCACAUAAAGUAAAUACAUACCCUGUUAGAGAUCUUCUUCUGUUUAAAUUUCGUGCAUAAUCAAAAUCAACAUAACUAACAAUUUUCCUAAAGAUGUCAGUACUUUUUCAUAUACUAAGCCAAUAUGUGAUGUUCUGAUUAAGUAUCGAAGUAUCCAUUUCACUGCUUGCCAAUGGAUCUUUCCAAGGUGAUCUAUAUAUCUACUCACCACACUAAUUGCAUGUGAAAUGUUUGGCCUAGUGUAGACCAUGGCAUACAUAAUGCUCUUAACUGCACUAGCAUUAGGAACAUGUGACAUGUACUCUCCCUCUUCUUCAGUCUGUGGUGAUAAAGGACUAGAAAGUUUGAAGUAAGAUACUAACGGAGUACUCACUGGUUUUGACCCUUGCAUUCCAAAGUGUUGUAACACUUUCUCAAUGUACUUUUUCUAUGAUAAGUACAAUUUCCCUGCUUUUCGAUUUUUAUGAAUCUUCGUACCUAAUAUUUCUUUGCAAAUCCAAGGUCUUUCAUUUCAAACUCUCAUUGAAGUUGAGUUUUCAAGCUAUUGAUCUCAGACAUAUUCUUGUAGGAAAUUAACAUGUCAUCAACAUAUAACAAUAAAUAAAUGAAAGAAUCAUCAAACAAUUCCUUGUGAUAAACAUAAUUAUCAUACUCACGUCUAUGGUAGCCAUUCCCAAUCAUAAAAGUAUAAAACAUUUUAUACCACUGCCUAGGAGAUUGCUUCAAACCAUAAAGAGAUUUCUUCAAUAAACAAACAUGGUAUUCCUUUCCUGAAAUAAUGAAUCCCUCGGGUUGCUGCAUAUAAAUCUAUUAUUCCAACUUACCAUGUAGAAAAACAGUCUUUACAUCAAGUUGCUUUAACUUUAAUUCAAAUAAAGCAACCAUAGCAAGUAACACCCUGAUUUGAGCUAUGCUUCACAACUAGAGAAAACACUUCAUUGAAGUCCACACACUAUUUUUUUUAUGUAGCCCUUUGCUACCAAGCGUGCUUUGUACCUCACAUCCUCUGCUUUUGGAAUUCCUUCCUUUUUUUUAUAAGACCCAUUUGCAACCAACAAUCUUUUGAUUUUUAGGUUUCUCAACUAGUUGCCAAGUGUGGUUCUUUUGAAGAGAUUCAAUCUCCUCAUUCAUAGCAACAAUCAACUUCGUAGACUCUCUACUAAUGAUGGCUUCAUGAUAAGUUUGUGUCAUACACAUGCUCUCUUUCAAUGCAACCAAAUCUGCAUAUACCUUUGUGGUGGUUUACCUCUUUGUUCUAUCUUUAGCCAAACAAUAUUAUUGCUCUUGUGGUGAAUUUUCUUUAUCAUCAAAAUGUUGCACUUUUUCCUCAUUUGAAUUUAUUGAAAUCACUUUUUCUAUGGUUUAUGAAACUUUAGUCAUAAACUCCACAUUUUCUCUCACACUAGGGUCAUUUUCUGUAUGAAGUUGCUCCUUCCUAAAACUUAACAUUGCAGACUCAUUUAAAAGUCACAUCCAUGCUAAUAUUAAAUUUGGAGAAUUUUGAAUCUGGGCACCAUAACCUAUACCCUUUCACUCCAUCGGCAUAUCCUAAGAAUAUGCACUUCCUUGCCCUUGGUUCCAACUUCUUUCCUUCACGUGGGCAUAAGUAGGACAACAAAAAAUUCUUCAAUUAACAUAAUUAGAAGGAGAUCCAGACCAUACCUCUUAUGGAGUCCUACAAUUUAUAGGAAUUGAAGGAGAUCUAUUCAUAAGAUAAUAAGCUAAAUUUACCGUUUCAACCCAAAAUUCCUUUGACAACCCUGCAUUCGAAAGCAUGCAUCGUGCUUUCUCUAAAAGAAUUCUAUUCAUCUUUUUUGCAACACCAUUUUGCUGUGGAGUAUUCGUAACUGUGUGGUGUCUCACAAUACCUUCAUUCUUGCAAAACUCAUUGAACUCUUUGCCACAAAAUUCCAUGCCAUUGUCAGUUUUCAAGUACUUGAUUUGUUUUCCAGUCUGCUUCUCGAUCAUGGCUUUCCAUUGCUUGAACUUCCCAAAGACAUCAUUUUUAAGAUAUAUACCUAGACAUUUCUAGAGUGAUCAUCAAUAAAGGUCAACAUAUAUCUUCCACCAUCAUGUGAUACAACCUAAGAAGGGCCCUAAAGAUCCGAAUGAAUAUAAUCCAAAGUACAUUUAGUUCUGUGAACAUCUAUACUGAAUUUCACCCUACAUUGUUUCCCAAACACACAAUGCUCACAAAAAUCUAGUUUUUCUGUUUUCUAUCCAUCAAGAAAAUCUCGUUUACUUAAAAUUGUUAAUCCUCUCUCACUCAUAUGCCCAAGCCGCAUGUGCCACAAUCUAGUAGUCUCUAUAAUUGAUUAUAAGGUUGAAACUAUAGUUGCACCUAUAAUUGUGCUACCCUGCAAUGUAUAAAGACCAUUAAUUUUCCUUCCUUUCAUCACAACAAGAGCACCCUUUGAGAUAUUCAAAAAUCCACCUCCAACUUUAUAUGUGCAUCCAUUGGAGUUAAGUGUUCUUAAAGAAAUCAAAAUUUUCUUCAGUUCUGGAACAUGUUUUACAUUAGUUAAUGCCCUUAUAAUGUCAUCAUGCAUCUUAUAGGCUACAUUUUGUUUCCCAUGAGAACCUUGCCACCAUCUAUGGGUUGGUUGGUACUAAACCAAUCCCUAUUGGGAGACAUAUGAUAAGAGCACUCUGAAUCAAGAAUCCACUCAUCACCUGAGUUUGUAAUAGUAACUGAAAGAACAUUUGUAUUAUUUGAAUUUUCUUCUGCAACUGUUGUAUCACCAUAAUUAGAAGUUUUCUUUUUUUCUUUUCCUUUACGAUCUGAACAAAUUUUCACAUAGUGCCCUUCUUUCUUGUAUUUGAAACAUUUGUUGUUUCUCUUGUACUUUGAUCUAGAUUGACCUCUUCUGCCAUUAUUUUUCUUUCCUGUUCUCCCUCUAGUCAUCAAACCUUCAUCGAAGUCAUCUUUUCUACUUUCAGACACCCUUUUCUUCAACUCCCUUAAGUUCAAGGCUUCUCUAACAUCUUCUAUGGAGAGAGUAUCUCUACCAUACAUCAUGGUAUCUACGAAGUGCCCAUAAGAAUUUGGUAGGGAACUUAUCAAAGUCAUGGCUUGGUCUUCAUCAUCAAUUCUAAUGUCAAUAUUCCUUAAAUCCAUGAUAGUUUUAUUAAACUCAUCAAGGAGGUCUUUAAUGGACAUAAAUUUUUUCAUAUGGAGAGUAUGCAAUCGCUUCUUUAAAUAUAAGCGAUUUGUAAGAGACUUUGUCAUGUACAAACUUUCCAACUUCAACCAUAACUUGGUAGCCAUAUUUUCUUUUGCAACCUCACGAAGCACCUCAUUACCCAAGCACAAUAGAAUAGUACUAUGUGCUUUCUCCAUAAGUUCAUCAUUUUCUUCAUUAUACAUUGUUGUAGGUAAAGCCUCUAUACCUUUUAGUGAUUUAGACAACCCCUGUUGAACCAGUAAGGCACACAUCUUAACACGCCACAAAUUGAAAUCGUUUCUCCCAUCAAACUUCUCAACCUCAAACUUUGUUGUCAUUCCGGUUCUAAUAAUCUUAGCUCUAAUACCAAUUUGUUGUGCAAAUCACGAAAAAGAAUAAUAAUAGGGAGAAAAGAAUAAGAAAAGCGAAAAUCAAAACACACAAUUAAAGCUCUCAAAUCCCAAAACCCUAAUUUAUACUAAAAAAGACUUACUAUUUUAGUUAAAAUCUCUUUCUAUAUUUUUUCCUAAUUACAAAGGAAGUUUCUAUAUAUGAAACAAAGUGUAUAAUUGUUAAAGAUACUUUUUUCUAAAAAGAUCUCAUAAUAAGAUAUUUCCUAUAAUAAUAGAAAACUCACUUUCAAGAAUAUCUACUAUUAGGAAACUAUCAAUAACUUUCUAAAUUGACUCAAAAUACAAUUUGAAACACUUUCCAAUAAUUAAAAAUCGGCAAAUUGAGAAAAUUGAAAAAAUAUAUAUAUAUUUAAAAAAAGUCAAGGAAAAUGAAAGUAAGCCUGCUAGAAGGAAAGAAUGGCAGCACUUUGACUGAAAUCAUAUUUCACUAACGACUUAAAAUUUGUAGGGAAGAAAAAAAAAAAAAAAAGUUAAGGCAACAAGAUUAUUUGAAAGCUGGAUUUUUUUUAGAUCAAUUUCUGAAAAGCAAGGAUAAAGGGUAAGGGGUGAGACACAAGGGUUUUAAAAUGAUGCACAGGAGGGUGGUCAUGCAUGCUGUGAAAAGCAUCAUGUCCAAUAGUUUUUCUUGGUGAUCCACGUGUUAAGGAGAGAAUCUGAUUAAUACACGUGACAAGAGUUCUGGUGUCCUUCGACCAAAUAUCACUGACUGGUCAACGCUGUUUUCUGAAGGAUGCUGAACUGAUUCCAUUGAAGUAGAAUUCGGAAAACUUGCAUUAUCUGCUUGCCUACUAGCAGUCAUAGUCCUCUUCUCUACUGGGGUCCUUUUUCUUUGGUUCCAAUUCAAUGCAUCACUGAUUCAUCUUCUCCCCAAUUAAGUCAAGACCCACAAGGAGGAAGGUCACCCCUUGAAAGAGCAGAAAGCAGAAGUGAAUUCCUUGGGUUGCCAUAACCAUCUACCAGAAGCAGCAUAAAUAUUCGACGACAGCACACAACGUGGAUCACGUCCAGAACUAAAGUUAGAAUUCACCUUGACAAACUCUUCCACCACCCUGUCAACCAUCUCCAUAUCCAAAUGAACCCGGCAAGCUCCGUGAAGGGCACCCUAGACUGUAUCGGCUAGUUUCAUUGACAUUCCCUUGAUCAAAUCAUGAGCCUCUUUUAUUCUCCUUUGUCCGUGGAUAGCCAAAACCUGAGAUCAUGGAAUUCCAACACGUCCUGUUCCCAUGAGCCAUCCCCUCAAAGAUCAAUCUUGCAUUGGCUAAAUCUUCAUAUUCAGCAUCCAACAGACCCAAUUGAGAACAAGCAGAUAAAACACUGGUUAUUGAAGAAACUUUUGUACCAGCUCCAUUGGAAAUGAUCCCAUUGAAGAAAACCAUUAAAAGCAGAAACCAACCCCAUCUUCAUCUUGAACCCCUAAUCACAAACACCAAAUUUACCCUGUUCUUAUGAUCACAAAAGGUUCUAGACUGAAUAAAUAAAGUUGCAGAGUACUGGUCUGAGCUGGCAUAUCAUCAUCGUCAUCACCAUCAUCCCAUUGUGAAAAGCAGAAAGAAUCCAUGGCAUUGAACCUUGAAGGUUGGCAAAAAUUAAGGUGAAACAGGAGUUGGGUUUCAGUGGAAACCACUCAUCAGUCUCAUCUGCAGUCCUGUGGUCUAUUUGUGGUAUCCCUUUAAGAAGAAAAUGGAGAAUAACUCCUGCAUUCUUCUUCAGUCAAUUGUACAAUCCUGCUCAAUGUAGACUCCUUUCAUCUCUCUCGGUGACUUGGAAACUCGGCCUGACUCGGGUGAUUCAGUUUUCUGAGUGGACUUGGCCAUUGUGUCCCCUUGAUGUUUCAAUUCUGAGGUGCGUUGUCUGCAUGUCAACUGAUUUUCCAACAGAUGUCUUAAGGCCCAAACUUUCAUAAGCACUCUUGAAAGCUAUGGCAACUCAAAGACUUCAAUCCAACAAUUUCCACAGCAUUGGCGUGGACCAGGGUGCAUAUCAGAUUCUCUGUUCAUUCAUUCAGGCCUUCUUCUCUUCCUUGGUUCCUUUAACUGACUGUAUCGUCUCCAUGAAGCUCCAAUUCUCCUGCCCAGCUGGUUGAGAGGAUGAGAGAAGAGACUGGACAAAGAAAUGGAUGAAGAGUGGAGACCAAGGCUGGUGGGAACACGUACAGGUAUGGAGGUAUACCACCACCACUACUUGAGUGUCUAUGGAGAGAUGUCCCAUCUGCUGUUUGCGAAUCGCUGGAAUAGGUACAAUUAGAUUCUACAGCCGUCAUAUUUCCAACUUCAUGCAGUUUAGGUGAUUAGAAUUUAGUCAGCAGGUGUAAUGAACGGAGAGCCUCUUCAUCACUCUCAAAUUCACAGAAUCCCAAGCCUGCCACCUCUUCCAUUGCUAGGUAAGAACGUCUCUUUCAUUACUAAACAGCACAGCAUCAAAAACACGUCGCGAGUAUAAAAUUUUAUUGCUUCAGAUUGCUUAAAAGUCUUCAUUUAUGUGCUAUAAUAGCCAGUCAAAUUGUCAGGAGGAUAAUUGUAUUGAACCACUUAACCCUUAACUGAUGAAGUUUCAGAUGUAUAAGUCAUGUCAUUAAGAGCAGAAUAAAUAUUUCUGGCAUCAACCUAGUUCACUACUCUGUGAAUCUUCCAUCUUAAAUCUCUCCCGGACCAUGGAAGACGCGAAUUUGUGGUUUUGGAGCCCUUUCCGCGGUAAGAAUGCCCCUACCAGAUAUGCUAACCGCUUGACCACAGGUUAUUGACACCAGACAAGCUGAUGAAGACUGGUGUUCUUAUUUCUUGCAUCUGCUUUCCAAUCUCCGCAACAGCUUCAAUACUGGUUCCAUAGAGAUUCCCAUGAACAUUAUUAGCCUUCACAUUCCUAUCAUCCCAUUCAAAGUCAUUCCAAUAAGACGAAUCAUGCCAUGACCAUGUGAAUGCACCCCAAGUGGAACUGCAGGUUUAACUCUGAAAAUGCUGUCACAUUGCCACCUUAAACUUUGUGUCACUUCAAAAUAGAAUUCCGGUGUAUCUCCAGUAGCUGCUCCAUGGAGUCUCAGGUAGUGCUUCUGAGAUAGCUGAUUCUUAUAAAGUACCACAAGUUACUUUGUUUAACUGGGAAAUCAGAGGGUUCUCCUUUGUGUAUUCAGAAUAAGCUGCAGCAUCUCUAUUCAUGGGGAAUUCGAGAUUCAGUAGAUCAUUCACAGACUUUGCUUCAUAAUCCCAGAGUAGUCUUUCCAAUUCUUUGUUUAUCACUUUAUACAGAUGGCUCAUAAAAAAAGAAACUGGUGCUUCUGGGCCACUAAAACCAUCAUAUAUCCCAAAAAACAACCACCCGUGUUCUUCAAAAAGCACAACAUGAACCCUUUGCAAAUUGCGAGUUUUUCUAUACUCCCCUAAUGGGAAUCCUCCUCCAAAAUCAGCAAAACCAGUGAACCAGCUAAACCACUUUCCUCUGCUCUUCACCCUGAUUUUCUUUUCUCUGUUUUUCAGCUGCCCCCCUCCAUAGCUUCCCAUAUUCUUGUCUCCUUCUCAACAUAAAGCCACCUAAAUUGAUAUUCUGAUGAAUAACACCAGCCCCAAAUAAAGCACUCACAAAUGAUUACAGAAUCAGGCUUUAUUCCAGCCAUGCCCAUUUCCCAAAAUGACUAGAGAGUCCUGCUGGAAAAUCCAGUUUGCAUGCACACAGCAAUCAAAGCAUUCCAAGCUACCACAUCUCUUUCAAUCAUACUUGUUAGGAAAGUGUCCCAAAUUCCUAAUUGGUAUAGGUUUCUUUUUUGUAAAGAAUAUUAUAUAGAAUAUUUUUAGGUUGAUAUAUUAUUGUAAUAUUAGACUUCCUUAUAGAAUAAGGAAGAUUGUUGGAAAUAUCUCUAUAAAUAUUUUAGGUCAUGAGGGGAAAAAGUUAUGAGAUAAAGAUGGGCUUAUAAAGACUAUACGAGGUAGAUAGAGAUGUGAGAAAGAACGGGAGGUACCCGGUGGAGCGAGAGGGCUUGUGGUAGGAUAGGUAUAUGAAGAGUGGGGAACAUAGGAUGUUUUGGGAACUCAAUAGUUGUAUUUGGUUAUGUCCUCUGUAAUGUUCUGGUUCUGUCAUCUAUAAUAUUCUCUAUUGUAUAAUAAAAUGAUUCUCUCUCAUCCGUGAAUGUAGGCAUGGUUGGCCAAACCAUGUUAAAACCUUGUGUAUCGUUUAUGUUGAUUAUUUUAUCUUUGUGUUCUUGAUUAAUGAUGUUUGCAUCAAGCUUCUAUCAUUCAACAAAUUGAUAUAAGAUGCAACUAUUGGGUACUUGAAACAUCUCAUGUUUCCCCAUUCUUCGUAUCCAUAUCCUACCACGAGCCCUCUCGCUCCAUUGGGUACCUCUUGUUCUUCUUCACAUCUCUAUCCAUCUCGUAUAAUCUUUACAGGCGCAUCUCCAUCUCAUAAUUUUUUCCCCUCAUGACCUAGAAUAUUUAUAGAGAUAUUUCCAACAACCUUCCUUAUUUUAUAAGAAAGUCUAAUAUUACAAUAAUAUAUCAACCUAGAAAUAUUCUAUAUAAUAUUCUUUACAAAAAAGGAAUCUACACUAAUUAGGAAUUUGGGACACUUCCUAACAAUCUCCACCUUAGACCAAAUUGCAUGAAGUUAAUCUUCAAACUCUCCAUGACACAAACCUUUUUUUUUGUGUCAUAUCACCACGAGAGAGUCAUCGACUCCAUCUUCACUAAAAAUUCCUUUUGUUUUCAUCUUGUGUUUUCUAUGAUCUUUUACUGUUUUAAAAUUCUUCAAACCAGGCUUUGAUACUUGUUUGUUAUGGAAAAACGAGAAUAGACAACAAGAAAAAUAAGAACACACACAGAUUUAUGUGAAAAAACCCUGGAUAAGAAAAACCAUGAGUAGAGGAGAAGAAAAAUCCACUAUGUCAAAUAUUGGUACAAAAGGGGAGAGUAUCAAGUGGUUACUAUAUAAACACCUGAAAACCUAUACAUCAUCUCAUAAAAUAUAUAUGAGAGAAAAAAUAAAUAAAGCAGGAAAAAUCCAUAAUUUUUUUCUUCACCAUAUAUAUCGCACCACAAACUUUUCGAGUUAGACCAAAAAAAAGGAAAUCGAGUCACCAAGCUCUAACAAUACUCCCAAACAAGAACUCAACACAAUCUAACCUGCCAUCACCAAUUUAGUCUUCACAACAAUAACAAACUCCAAUUCAUGUUUCAGAACAUGGCCAUUGUCUAGGUGAACGAGUUUAGGAAUAUUUUCACCAACAUAUGCAGGAAUUUCCAAUGAAAUCAAAUGAGCCUUAAUGAGAGACACGUCAUGUAAAAUAUAAAAGGGCAAAGGAACACCCAGACGUUUGCCAAGGGGCACAAAAGAACCAUUUGCUAGCGGUUCACCAAGACUGGUCAAUGGCCUUGCGUAAUGGAUCAACAAUAUGAGAUUGAUUCCAUCCUUGGAUUGUUUUCCAACCUUCCAGAGGCACUUUUGCCAACAGUACUACCCAGUCCAACAAGCGACACAAGAGAAUCUUGAGUGGCAUUUUGAAGAUUUGAUGUUGUUUCAGUGUACUCAAUAAAGAAGGCACUAUCUCCUAGCAUGAGAUACUAAACCAAGUUCAAGUUUCUUAAAAGGCUCCUCAAGAACUCCUAGGAGGCUAGGAUUUUGUAAUCACAACUUUCACUUCCUAGGCUUGCACUCUCAGAUGGAGAUGCACAAACCAAAACAUUCCACAAAAGCAGAGAAGUAUAGAGAAGAAAAUGGAUAAAAAUAGAGCAAGAAUAAGGGAACUGAGGAUUUAUUAAGCCAAGCCUUGUUUGAUGAGUUAUCAACGGGCUUAGAAGUAGGUGAAUGAGACCAAAUGGAUUUCAAAUGGAAAUGAAAACAUGGUUGCAUGCAUCUCAUAGAGAAUCCAAAAUAGAGCCAAGUAAACAGAGUUGAAAUCAGGCAUAAAAUGAAGACACACAAACUUAGAUUCUAUAAGAACAUGUAAAAGUUUCCAAUGUUUGCAUUCAGGCAUCAAAAUAGAACCCAAGUAUACACAGAAAACAAAGUAGCACUGUAUGAAAACAAAAAAACGGAAAGCUUGUAGAAAUCAUACCUUUAUUAUUCCCUUCAAGACUCCUCCAUUUUGUUCUUCCUCUCUGGUUCCCAAAGAUUUGCUCUUUCUCUAAUCCCCUUUCUAAGCCCAACUCUCUCCUCCUGCAACUCUCUCUCUCUAUCCUUUUUUUUUUCCUCCAAAAAUCUAGAAGAGAAAGAAUGCCCUCCUCCAUAUCUAAAACCUCCUUUCUCUUCGUUUCUUUCUUUUCCUGCCACCAUAUUCUCCCAAAACAUGAAAGUUGAAAAACCCCCUUGGAAAAGUCCUCCCAAGAUCCUCACUGAAGCCUUUUUCUUUUCUUAAAAUGUUCUCCACAUGAUUUCCAUGGAGUUUUGACAAAAGAUAGGACAUUUUAAAAAAUAAAUUCAUAAAGUAAACUUGCUUCCAAAAUAAUGUCCAAUCUAAUGUGUUUGUGCCACAUAGGCUUUCACGCUAGAAAACUGUAAUUGGUGACUACAAUUUUGUUUUUUUUUUUUAAAUGAUCAAAAUUGUAGUAAUAAAUAAUGGCUUUAACUUUAAGCUUAAAACCGUAGUUGGUAACUAUGACUUUGACCAUUUAAAAAAAAAAAUCAAAAUGGUAGUUACCCACUACAGUUUUAAGCUUAAAGUUAAAGGCACAGUUGAUAACUAAGGUUUUGGAUUCUUUUAAAAAUGGUCAAAGUCGUAGUCACCAACUACAACUUUAACUUAAUUUUUUUUAUAUAAAAUUAUUUUGUUUCAUUAAAAAAGAUUUAACUUUAAUUUUUUAAAAUAAAAAUAUUAUAUUAUUUUGAUUUUAUAUAUUUUAAAAAUAUGUGAGUGGUUAAUAAACUUAUUUGAUUAUUUAAAAAAAAUAAUAUAUGAAAUUAAAUAGUUGAUAUUUUUAAUUUGAUAUAAAAAUAUUUUUGUUUAAUUUUAUUAAAAUAAUUGUCACUAUAUUUAAUAUAAAAGUAAUUAGUUAAUUAUAUUAAAUAUAAUAAAUCAUAUUUAUUUAAAACAAAUAAAUUAUGAAAGCCUAUUUAGAAAGCAAAAAAUAAUAUAAAUUAUUAUAUUAAUUAAUUUUUUUAUAUACUAUAAUAUAAGUAGUAUAUAAUAUCACAUGUAUAUAGUUCAAUUUAAGUUUAAAAUUUAUCAAAUUUUUAUUUAAAUAUAUAAUAAUUUGUUCAUAAUAAAAAAGUAAACAAUGUAAUAAAAAUGAAAAUAAACAUUAAAAAUGAAAAACAAUCAUCAAUGAGUGCCACAUGAUAGGACCUUCCACUUUCUCUAUUGACACUUACGUUGCAAAGACAUAUUUGUUGAAUCUAUUUAUGUAAUCUACCAUGUCUUCGUAUAUGUAGGUUGAGAUGGAGUUGAUGGAGGCAAGACUUGACAUCUAUGUGGACUACAACGUCGCAUAGGUGUGUAUACAUCUAGUUGUGUAAUAUGUGUAAGGGUAUAAUGCAUGGUAGUCUCUAUGGGAAAAGGUGUAGGUGAUGGUAAGGUGGUAGAUGGUGGGGCAAUCUCAAGUACAAUGAUAUUUGAUAUGGUAACAUCUAAGAGAGAUGAUAUAGAAGAUGGUAGAAUGACAUCUAAUGUAGUGGUCUCUGAUGCAAUAACAUCUGAUAUACUGGCCUUGAGGAGAAAAGAUACAAGUGAUGAUGGUGAGGUAACAUUACUAUUAUUUAUUGCAUUUUAUGGGAUAUUAUUUUGGCUUUUUCUGUCGCCAUUUUCUGGCCACCCGAGGGUGAGCUAGGUAUUGUCAUUUGAGGGAGUGGGGGACGAUCUCCAUAGGGGAACGGGCUGCAUGAGACGCGUAACAAAGGACACUGCUACCUCAACAUGGUGGUGGUUAGGAUGGAGACAUUUUUCUGAACGGAGGAGUGGAAGGACUUUGAGUGCAACUGUUAUAGGAAGGUGCAAAGUAGUGAGAGACUGUGGAGGAGGCUUGGGGAAGAAGCAAUAAGAGUCAUGAGGGAGCAAUUCAUGAGAUUAAGGGCAAUGAGAAGAUGAGAGGAGAUCUUGUUGAUUCAUAAAAAAGAAAGUAGAGGUGGAAGCCAUGCAACUCUUGGUUAUGAGGGAGCAUUCCAAGUAAGGCUACUGUGAGCUUCUUGUCACUCAUUUUCACACUAUUUCAUUCUCAUUUUCAGCUACUUUUAUGAGCAUUUCUUUGUUGAUUGGUGUGGACAUCAAGGGCCACUCGUUUGCUUUGUUGGAUCUGACUCUCUACAUGCAUGCUCUGUUUUGGCUUUAUUUUGGUAUUUUUGUUUUCUUUUGUAGAUACCUGAUGCAUUGAUCUUUCCUUGAAUCUGAUAUACAAAAAUCAUGCUCUUGUUCCUUGAUAAUUCCACUUGUUAUUAGCCUAUGGAUGUCACUUGAAAUGAGGCUUUAUACAUCCAUGUUUUGCUUGAUUCUUAUUUGCUCUUCCUUUAGUUUUUACUCUAGCUUCUAUCCUUGCUUUUUAUUCCUCUAUUUUUGGUAAGUUAAGGUGAUGGGCAUUUAAGCUUGGGUUAUCCAUCUUGAUUGGGGUGUUUUCUGGGAGAGCCCCAUGAAGGAAAAUUCUAUACGAAUGGGUAUUUUUGGAUACCCACGAGCCAUGUGGUCCAUAUUGAAACGCCUAAGGAUGUAAUAGAGGAAUAUAGAAGAGGAUGAGUAAAUCUCUACUUGAUGCUCUGGACAUGGGUGAGGCAACCAUGUAGAAUAGGGUACUUUAGACUAUAAAUCUUUCUCUGUGGGCAUAAGCGGUUUUCCUCGUGCACUAUGGUCAUAGUAUUUGCUAGUUUUCAUGGUGGUUAAAGUGUGGACUUUCUUGAUCUUGUGCAUGACAUGCACCAAUUUCUAUUUACAAGGUCAGUUACAAGAUGGCAUCUAGAAUAUGCAUGCAUAGAUAUCUGACAAGCUUCACAAAGGUCAAGACUCUUGAAAUGUAGAAUGUUUGGGUUUAUUUCAUUAGUAAGCCUAGGUGAUGGCACCUGGCAUGUUGACUUGAUUCAGUAGAAUAAUGACUUAUUCUUGCAUGAUGGAAGGCUAAUCUUUGUGAGGGUCAUUGCAUAAAAUAUGAUUUCUUGAAAUUUAGAUAAAGUGGUAAUUUGCAUCUCACAAUGCAAGCUUUUGAUUGAAGUUCAUGAGGGAAAGUAGUUGCAUCCCAUGCUAAAUGCAGAGUUUUGACCCAAAAUGCAACAUUUAAAAAAAAAAUCCAUAAAGUAAACCGAUUUUGAAAAUAAUGCCCAAUCUAGUAAGUCUGUGCCACGUAGGAGACCAGGUCAAGAAACCGUAGUCACUAAUUACGGUUUUGAAUUUUUUUUAAAUCAUUCAAAACCAUAGUUGGUAACUACGAUUUUGAAUCCUUUAUCCGUUUCUUUCCUAGUAGGUUUCUUCCUUUCCUUGUUAGGUUUCUUAUCUUUAAGGUUUCAUCUUUCCCGUUGCAUUCAGUCGUCUUUAGUUCAUCAUUGGCUCAAAUUCAAAAUUUGGAAGUCAUUGGUCAAGUAAGAUUUAUGUGUUUGGUUUCUGUUUGGUAAAGAUGUGUUUGAUUUUUUAUUUUUUAUUUUUUAUUUUAUUUUGAUUGUGAGCUUAGCAGAAAGAAAAAGGUUUUUUUUUUUUGGUAAAGAAAACAGAUAUGAGAUGGGGGGCCACCAUGGAUUUUUUUUGUUAAAGAUACCAAAAAUGGAGGGGACCACUGUUAAGAACUCCAAAAAUGGAAGGGACCACUGUAAAAAAACUCAAAAAAUGAAGGGGAUGAGCAGUGAUUUUUGUUAUAAGAAUAGAAAAAAUAGGAAUACUCCACUUUUCAAGGGCCAUAUUUAUUUUAAGUUAGGAGAUUGAAGGUGUGGGGUCGGUUUCUACAUCAUUCUCCAAAUUCUAUGAAUGUUUGGUUGCCCAGAAAAUAGAGGAAAGUAAUGCUAAAGUUUGUCAUUUGGGUAGGGUAGAACUCCAGAAAAUAGAGGAACGUAAUUCUCCAAAUUUUUAUCUUGUAAUAGAUUUUCUUCUUGUUCAAAUCCUAUGCUCUAGUUUUGUCCUUUGUCUCUGUUCCCAAAAUUUACCAUGAAGCUAUUGAUCACCCUAGUUCCAUCCUAAUGAAUGUAUUUGGUUGUGAAUUUGGGUUGCAAAGUGUUUUUUUAUAGUAGGCAAAGAUAGAAUAUGUUGGCCUCAUAAAACUUUAGAACAUCAUUUUUAAAUUGAAGAUGAGGCAUUUCAAAACAAGCCCCUGUACCUUCCACCUUAAAGUCAUUAAUGAAACCUCCUCUCAUUGCCCUUAACAUAAAAUAGCUCAAUUGCUCCAUCACUAGAAUGGGUAGAUAGGGCGUUAGUGGAUCUCCAUAUCUCAAACCUUUUGAGCCUUGAAAAAAAUAUUGGGAAAUUAACCAAUGUGAGAAAGCUAACUACAAAGAUAAAAAAUCUAAUCCUACCAACCAAUUUCUACCCCAAACCCAUACUGCUUGCUGAAAGCAAAAAAAAACUCUGAAUUUCAUGGUGGUUCACUUUCUAAAUAUCCAUCUUGUGUACAAGGGCUUGAGCUUUUGAUCUAGAUUAUGUGGCUUUAGUGGCUAUAAAAUUUUGUAUCCAUAAUCCAUCUCCACUCUAUGAAAGCACAUGAAACUUUUGGACCACCUUUGCUAAUGACUUUUUUAAGUCUCUUUGCCUGAUUUUCUCCAGAAGCUUAUGUGAAUUCACACCCCCAACCCCAAAUUAAUGGGCCUAAAGUUUUUCAUAUCCUCCACAUCAUCUUUUUAGAAGUUAACACAAAUUAUGUAGUAUUCAAAGUCAUUCCAAGAGAUUUAAUUGAGCAAAAAUCCUGCAUGAAACCUAUUGCUUCACUGUGAACAAAAUCCCAACUGUGAUGCCAAAAAGCCAUUUGACACCAUUUGGAUCCAAGGGUUUAUUUUAUUCUUACCCAAAUAAGAAAUUGCAGCCAAAACCUCAUCUUUACUAAAACCUUCUCCAUAUCUUCCCCGAGUUGCCAUAAAUCUAGUUGAAAACCAAAGUUUUAGUCCCAAGAUGGCAAAUCCUCAAAUAAAAAAAUGCUACUAGAAGAAACUAGAGAUUCCCUUCCUCACACCAUACUGACUAUUUUAAAAAUAAACCUCAAUUUGAAAUGAAAUGAUCAAAUUCCAAACAACAAAAAUCUUCAAUUUAGCCAAAAAUAACAAUUGGAGAUCAUUCUAAAGUAAUGGCCCAUAAACAUUAGAGACAACAACCCCAUGAGUGGUGGAAAUGAGAGUAUGGAAAAAUUUCCUUCACAUGCAGAGUAGAACAUCAUCCUUCAUGAUAAAACCACCUAUAAAAGGAUUUCCUCCAUGUAUAAGACCUAAAGGGACUACAAUUUUCAGAUGCUCCAACAAGCAAAGGAAAACUCUAUAGUGACUAUAGAAUGGUUUCCAUAAUUUUUUUAUCCCGUCUAUUUUAAGGUCCCAAAUUAGUUUCCAGGUUUUAUCAGACUACCUUUUAGCCAAAGUGAAGUUCAUAUUGUAUGAUGAGACUUUGGAUCUAGCAUUGAGACAACCUAUGUUCUCUAAAACUGAAGAUGCAGUUUCACAUCAAACAAUAGGGUGACCACCCCUGCUAGAUCAGAUAGAAAUCUGUGAUUGGUAAAAUGAAUAUCACAAAACGAGUACAAUGACCAAGGUUUUGAAGCCCAACUUUUGUCAACCACAUAAGUAGAAAAAACAAGAAUAAAUUGAUUGCCUCAAGAUGAAAUUUACUAUAUAAUCUCUAUCCCAACUAUUCAAAUUCAGAAACACCAUUCAUUCCAUCCUGUUAAAAUCCAGUCCUGGUUUGAAAACGUGAUAUCUUCUAAAGUUUUUUACUAUCCAUGUCAUUGAUGACCUCCCUCCCCAUUUUUUUACUUCCAAUAUUUCUCUCAUUUUCCCAUGGGGCACUAUUGUAGUUCUUCUUCCACAUGCUAGAAUACUCAGAACCAUCUCAUUAAUCAGGACUUCAUAUAACAUGCAUGAUUCAUCAAUGCUAGCUUAUCAAAGUUUAUCUUUGCAAUCAUACCAUGUCAUCUCAGUUUCCAUGUCAACUUGUCUCUGCUCCAAAUUCGGUAGAUCCCAAAAAUAGAAGUAUGGAAAUGCACUAGCAACUAAUGUGCUAUAAGUGAUUAAGGUAACGGAAUUUGAAUUUGACCCCUCCACGAAGGAAAUUCUUAAAUAAAUUAGCAACCAAAAGACAACAUGGUCUGUUUUUGUUUGUGAAAUUUGGGUUGAGAGAUCCCUUUGUAUUUUUUUUUCUUGAUGAAAAGUGAUGAAUCUUAAAAAUGAGAUAUACAGAUAGAGAGAGUCAAGAAAGCAAUGGAUUGAAAUAAAAAAAUUUAUGCAGUCUUUUCAUAUGAGCAACAUAUUGUGUUAUGGCUUUAUACUCAAGAAUUCAAGAGAGAAAAUAAGUCGAAUACAAUGGUGACAAAUCAAUCAACUCCAAAGAAUUUGUUUUGUUCAUUUUACAAAUAAGAAAGCCUUUAGCUAUGGUACAAAUUUCUAUUUGUUUUCAAUAGUUUGCCAUGAAUUAGGGGAUCUCCAAACUGUUUGAAAUCAAAUGGUACUAUAUUGUUGACUUUUUAUUUUUGUUUUCUACCAUGAUCUUCAUUAGUAAUGUCAUGAUCUCCAUUAUUUUUUUUUAAGUGAAUCAUAGGCUUUAUCACAUCCCCUCAAGCUAGGUACAAGAACAUAAUGAAUUCCCAACUUGACCUCAUGAAACUCCUUGAAGGAUUGCUUGGGAAGUUGUUUAAUUAAGAUAUUUACAAUCUACAAUGAAGAGGGAACAUAUUUGGUAACUAGAUUGCCAAGAGUAGCUUUUUCUUGAAGGAAAAUGGUAAUAUGUUUGGUGUGAGCAUGAAAAAUAAUUUUUUAUUUAUUUAUAUUUUUUCAUGUAAAGUGCACUAAUCCAUGUUAUUCACACGUAGUGAAAGCAAGUGUAUGAUAUCUUGCUUUGACACUAGAUUAGGCACCAUUGGGUUGUUUGUUGGAAACUAAGGUUUUGUUUGGUAACAGUUCAAAAACAAUUCUAAAAAAUAGUUAUUGAAAAUAGUUUUUGAAAACUAUUUUCUAAUGUUUUGUAAAACAAAUAUCUAUUUGAGAAUCUAAAAUGUUUUAAACUUAUUUUUUAUAUUUUUACUUAUGUUUGAAAAAUAAUUUUUAUAUUUAAUGUUUUAUUUCAAAUCAUUUUUUAUAUUUGUAUAAUUAUUUUUUAAAACAAGCCUUACAAAAUAAGUGAAAAUAACUAAAAAAAAUUCUUUGAAAACAUCAUGUUUUCUGAUUUUAAGAACAAAAAAAAUUGUUUUCUGUUUUUUCGUGUCAAACAUAUUAUCUUGUUUUUUUUUUCCUAGAAAAUAUAAAACUGUGUAUUUGAUAUUUUAUUAAUAUAUUUUUCUGUGGUGAGUUAUCUUUUAUUUGAUUUUGAGAUUUAAAAUUUUUUUUUUGACUUUUAGGUUUAAUCAAAUAUCAAGUGAUUUAUGAAUAAAAACAUAAUUAUUUAAAUUAUAUAUUAUUUAACAAUUGAUAACAUUUAAUUUUAUUUUAAUAUAUGAUAUUUUAUCUUUUUUUUUUUAUUGGUGGAUCAUCUGAGAAGGGCCAUCCUGUUGGCAUCAAUUUUAUUAAAAUUAAAAUUAAUAUUCAAUAGAUUUAUAAAUUAAAAUUAAAAUUAAUAGUAAUUUAUAAAUGAUUUUUUCCUAUAUUUAAAAUUAAUAUUAAAUAGAUUUAAAAAAAUGUUUAUUUAUUUUCAUUUUUAAUAUUCAAAUAAUGUUUAUAUAUAUAUAUAUAAACGAUUUUUUUUCUAUAAUUGUGUAUUUGAUAUUUUAUUAAUAUAUUUUUCUGUGGUGAGUUACUCUUAUUUGAUUUUGAGAUUAAAUUUUUUUCGACUUUUAGGUUUAAUAAAAUAUCAAGUGAUUUAUGAAUAACAACAUAAUUAUUUAAAUUACAUGUUUUUUUAAUAGUUGAUAACAUUUAAUUUUAUUUUAAUAUAUGAUAUUUUAUCCAAAAAAAAAAUUAUUGGUGGAUUAUUUUUUAUUUAAUUUUGAGAUUAUUGUAAUUGUUUAACUAAACAUUUAUUGAUUUAUAACCCAUUAUCUAAAUUUUAAAUUAAAAUUUUAUCAAACAUUUAUUUAUGAUUAUAUUUGUAUCAUAGAUAACUAUUUAAAUAAAUUAUGAAGUGAUUUAUAUUUUUCUCCCUAAUGUGUAAGAAAGUGUUUUAUUAUAUAAUUGUGUAUUCACAUGUUAAAAGAUUAUAUGCAAUUUCUCUUGAACAUUCUUGUAUGUGUGUUUUUGUAAUUAUUUUAAUAAACAAGUAUGUUAAGUUCAAAAUAGAAAGACUUGCUAUUAUUUUCAUUGAUUAUUAAACUAUUUGAUAUUGUAUUUUUUGUAGGUAAAUCAUGUCUAAAUCUAUUAUUCCUAUGAUUUGCUUUUGUAAAGGAAAAAUGUUGAGGACAGAAACAGAUGAAAAGUAUAUUGGGGAUCAAGCUGUAAUUGUGCCUUUGGAUGUGUCUGUUAGUUCAACCUAUGAACACUUGUUAUGUAUGAUAUACUCGAGAACUAGCAUUGACAAAAAACAAUUUCAAUUAGUCCUCAACUGUAGGUAUCCUUUAAAAAGGGAAAAUAGGUUCCAACCUUAUCCAAUAUGGGAUGAUAAUAGUUUAUCUCAAAUGUUGAAAUUGGUUAACACAUUUGGAAUGGACAAAAUUGAAUUGUAUAUUGAACAAGUGCCAGUACAACCACAAGUGAGGGGCCAAUUAUUGGGUAACUUCACACAUUUAUUACUCGGAGAAAAUGAUAAUGUUGAGGAAUUUGAGUAUGGUUGUGGACCUAGUAGUGCCCCAGUUGCAAUGACUUAUGAGUGUAGAGCAGAUGAAGAUGAAGAAAAAGGUGAAUCCUAAGAAGGUGAUGAUCAAAGUGAGAGAGUAGAAGAUGUUCAACAUGAUGGCAAUGGGGUGUUUGAAUUUAUUGAUGAGGAAAACAAUAAUGUUAAUGUUGUUUCAUCUUUCUUAGCUCUUCACAAAGCAAUGGAAAUUGAACAAGGAAUAUAUGUCUCCAUGGAUGUGGAAGGUUGUGAUAUGUCAAAUAACCUAGAUCCUGAGGACCCAAUAGAGUUUUCCCCUGUUCAGUAUCACUCGGCACCAUCAUUGUAGUUUGAAAAUGUAGAAAACAUUUGUAAUGCCAUUUCAAGUGACUGGACCCCAUAGGGGAACACUAAUAUUGGAAACUCAGGUGGAGAGUUCAUGGUUGGUCAAGUUUUUAAUUCAAAAGCAGAUUUACAAUAUGCUGCGAAGUUGUACUCUAUUAGUGCACACCAAGAGUACAUUGUUGUUUUGUCAACUACAAAGUUGUUAGUCUUAAGAUACAAGAAGGCUAAGCAAUCUCAAUGUCCAUGGAGACUGUGUUAUGGUUGUAAAAGGUACAACUUCAUUUGCAAUCAAUAAAUACAAUGGUCCGCACAAAUGCGUAAACCCUUGCUUGAAUUGGGACCAUCAACAAUUAGAUUCCAACUUGAUUGUUGCUCAUAUCCAAGGAAUGAUUAAGACACAAUUAACAUUGUCAGUGGUUUCUAUUCAAGCAAGUAUUGUGGAGAAAUUCGAAUACCAAAUAUCAUACAAGAAGGCAUCUAAAGCGAAGCUUAAAGCUCUUACAAACUUAUUUGGUGAUUUUUAUAAGGCAUAUGCAGAGCUGCCAUAUUUUUUCAUUGCCUUAAAGUAGGCAAAUCUAGGAUGUGUUGUAAUUUCAAAAACAUUUCCUGGUAUUAUGGAGAAUACAAAGAUAUUUCAGUGAGUUUUUUGGACAUUUCAUCCAUCUAUUGAAGGAUUCAAGCAUUGUUGGCCUGUACUCAAUAUUGAUGGUACACAUUUGUAUGGGAAGUAUAAAGGCACUUUAAUGAUUGUUAUGGGUUGUGAUGGAAAUAAUCAGUUAUUCCCAUUAACUUUUGCCCUAACAGAUGGUGAGAAUAUUGAUAGUUGGGGAUGGUUUUUGGCAUGUAUUAGAACUAGAGUAAAUCAUAGGAGGGGACUUUGUGUUAUAUCAGAUCAACAUCCAAGCAUUAUAGAUAUAAUGAGCGAUGUUCAUCUUAGUUGGUUUGAUCCAUACGCAGAUCAUAGGGUUUGUAUGCGUCAUCUUGCCAACAAUUUUAUGACUAGAUUCAAAGAUAAAAUAUUGAAAAUCUGAUGUGCAAAGCAGCCUUAGCAACCAAGAUUGAAAAAUUCAAUAAACAUAUAAACACAAUUGAGAGGAUUAAUGCAGCUGCACAACAAUGGUUGGAAGCAAUCCUUUUGAGAAAUGGGCGCUCUCUCAUGAUUGAGGUCGAAGGUAUGGCAUCAUGACUACAAACAUGUCGGAGAUGUUCAAUGGUGUGCUUAAAGGGGCUCGUAGCUUACCCGUAACUUCUUUGGUUCAAUUGACAUUUUUUCGGCUAAAUAGUUACUUUGUUGUGAGAAAGGAAUAAGGUGUUAAUCAACUUGCUUCAAAUGAGGAAUACACUCCAUAUGUCAAUGCUAAGGUUAAGGCAAAUGUGGUUAAGGCGGGAUCUCAUGAGAUUGUUUUAUAUGAUCACAUCCAAGGACGAUUCCGUGUGAAGACUAAUAGGGGUACUAAGAGUAGCUUAAAUAGUGGUCGAACAUAUCACGUCAAUUUACAAGAGUAUGCAUGCAUGUGUAGUAAAAACUCAUAUAUGGAUUCCCAUGUAGCCAUAUUCUAGCAGCAUGUCAUUUUCGUUCAGUUGAUUUUAGACCACUUGUUCAACAUUACUAUAGUACACAAUCGUGCUAUAAUACUUGGGCACCCUUGUUUCAUCCCAUUUUCAAUGUAUAUGAGUGGCUUCCUUAUGAUUGUCCAAUCAUCAUGCCUUCUGAUUCGAUGAACCGUGCAUCAAGUGGACGACCUAAAUCAAGUCGUUUGCAUAAUGAAAUGGAUGUUAGAGAUGACAAGACUUCUAUUACAUGUGGGUUAUGCAAAUAAAGUGGCUACAAUCGUCGUUCUUAUCAAAAUAGUAAUAGAGUUGAUUAGACCAUGUGAUGUAUGCAUGUAAUUUUCUUGGAUAUUGUGAUGUAAACUACUAUGAUACUACCUUUAUGCAAUUAUUGGCUUUGGUUUGAUUAUAAAUAUUGAUGUUAUUUGCAUAAUUAGGUUAUUUGUAUUUGGAAUAAUGUCCAUACUAUAGGGGAAACUCUAUCAAAAAUUUGAAAUUUUCUAUUAAAAGCUCCAUUGUAUUUGUAUCUCUAAUUUUAAUUUAGACUAGUAUGACUUGUUUAUUGGUCAUAAAUGAAUUGAUCUACUUAAAUUUAUCAAAUUGAUAUAUACUUAAUAUAGGAAAAACUCCAUAAAAUUUUAAAACUUUUCCAUUAGAAAUAUUUUUUGUUUACAAACAAUAAGUAUUGUUUAUUUAUCUUCACAAUUUUGUUACAAAUAUGGAGAAUAGAGGACAUAGUUCUGAUCCAAAUCCAUUAGAUACGUUUGUUUUGGUUCUACAGGAUAGACAUAGGUCUCAUUUAGUUGAUUCUGACCAGGUAUGUAUAUGAAAGCACAUAAUAUCUCUUUAAAGAAUGAAAAAAUUUGCAGUUUAUUAUCUAAAUGAUUUAUUUGUAUUUUUAUAGCUUGCUUCAGUCUUGACUUGUCGACAACAUAUAUUUAGGUUUAUGCGGGAGUGGGAGAUGGAUCCUCGUCUUCGACCUUAUAUUAUUCAAUCUGGAUUUUAUGGCGUAUACCGUAUUGGACACAUUACACUAGAUUGGGGAUUGAUCACUAGUCUAGUUGAGAAAUGGCGUCUUGAGACACACAUUUCACUUACCUGUUGGGGAGAUGACCAUUACUUUACAGGAUGUUGUUGUCAUAUUAGGACUUCGUAUUCAUGGGUUUCCCAUCAUUGGCACAUGUGACAUAGAUUGGUCAUUGCUAUGUUAUGAACUUUUAGGGGUGACUCCCCCUACAUCUGAGAUUAAAGGAUUAGCAAUAUCGACACGAUGGCUAUGUCACUAAUUCUCUCAUCCACCUGUUGAUUCAAAUGAUGCCAAAUUAGAGCGGUAUGCACGAGCUUUCAUAUUAGGACUCAUAGGUUCAAUGCUAUUUACAAACAAGAAGGGUACCCACAUCCAUAUGUGUUAUCUCCCACUACUUAGAGACUUGACUCAGACAUUUAUGUAUAGUUAGGGCAAUGCAAUAUUAGCACACCUAUAUAAGGAGUUGUGUUGAGCGAGUUUUGCUGGUGCCAUCGAUAUUGUUGAAUGUGUCACACUAUUACAGGUAUAAUUAAUUAUUCACAUUAGAUUACAAUUUCUAGUUGCUUCAAGUUUAUAAUUUAAGUAAAAUUUUAAUGUUACAUUUUUUCCAGUUGUGGUCUUGGGAGAGACUUCACUAGUUUGACCAGAUUUUGGUCCACCACUAGCCCCUCCAGCAGCCCAGCAUUUAGAGCAUGAUGCAACCGAUGAUUUACCAGCUGAGCAUUUAGACCAGGGAUUAUAGGAUGAGGCAUUGUUAGAUGAGGGUUUACCAACCGAUCCGUUAGGAUGUAGGUGAAGAGUACCUUUAUCAUGGGCUUAAAACCCAUCACAUGUGUUGACAUUUUAUCGAGACCAAUUAGAUGCACAGACCCAUGACCAGGUACAUAUAAAAUGUAAUGUGCUAUUGUUAACCAUAUAAACGUUAACAUUAUUGAUGUCAAAUAUUGAUUUUAACAGGUUUUAUGGGAGCCUUACAUGGGAGACUUAGUUGCCUAUCUUUCGGCGAUAUCUCUAGCAGACCAGGAGAUUUGGUGGAUGAUGUCACCUCUUAUCUGCUUUGACAUUGUCAAGUGGCAUCAACCAAAACGAGUAUUGCGACAGUUUGGCCUCCAACAAGGGAUACCUCCAUCUUCUUCCAUAUAUCAAAACCUUUAUUCUAUGGAUAGGCGAGGACGACAUAAGUAUGAUUGGGGGGCAUUCCAUGCACAAUAUAUUACCUUAUGGGCUAGUUGUGCAGAGCGUAUUGCGAUAGCACCACCUAUGAUGGGUGCUAUGUAGUUUCAUGAUCCAUAUAUGAAGUGGUACCAACAUAUUACAUGACGUUUGAUCACACCCCCUCUCCAUAGAGAUCAGAUAAGGUAUCAUAGUAUAGCAACAACUACUCAGUUGCUGGUAAGAUUUUUUAAUUUAUAAAUGGUUUAUUAAAUUAUAAUUAAUUAAAAAUCAUUUUUGUUUGUUUAACUUUUUUUAUUUUUUUUAUUUUAGAUCACUGGUAUGGUUGAGAUUGCUAGUCGAUCUGUUGGGCCUACUUCAGGUGCAUUAGGCGACAUUUAUCGGAUUGCUAUUGAUAUUUUGCAUGUUAUUGGAGAGGAGCAUCGCAUACAUUUAGUCCUUCAGUCGCCUACAUCAUCAUACCCAUCCAUGAGACCACCUGUGUCAGCCACUACAGUUAGGAUGCAACCUAUUUGAGGCCGAGGGAAAGGUAGUAGACAAGAUGGUGGGCAAGCUGGUCAACAACUUCGAUGAUAUAUGCAUCCACCCGAGACCAUGUUAGCACCAUCCACAUCAUCUACCCCAUUUGCACCUGAGGCUUCCACACUUUCCCCUUCACCCCUACCAUCAUCUUCACCUAGACCUUCUCCCUUAGAGCAUGUCAUAUUAGAUACCACUCUACCAUUACCUGUAUUUCCUCCCAUAGAGGCCACUAUACUUGAUGUCACUACACCAGAGACUACCCCACUAUUUACUAAUCUACCAUCACCUCUACCUUCUCUUGAGGGGACCACUACACCACAUGUCACCUCACCAUCAUCACUUAUAUCUCCUCUCCUCGAGCCCACUAUGUCAGAUGUUAUUGCACCGGCUACCACUACAACAGAUGUCAUUCUUCCAUCUCCUAUAUCAUCUCUCCUAAAUGCUACCAUAUCAGAUAUCACUGUACCUGAGAUUGCCUCACCAUUUAUCACCUUGCCAUCACAUACACCUCUUCCCAUAGAGGCUACCAUGCAUCAUACCCUUACACAUGUUACACAGUUAGAUGUAUGUCCACCUAGGAGACGUCGUGGUCCAUGUAGACGUCGAGUCUUGCCUCCAUCAGCUCCAUCUCAACUUAUACAUACUGAGACAUGGUAGAUUGCAUAGAUAGAUUCCACAAAGAUGUCUCUAUAUCAUAGGCGUCUACGGAGAAAGAGGAAGACCCCAUCAUGUGGCACUCAUUGAGGACUGUUUUUUAGUUUUUGUGUUUAUUUUUAUUUGCAUUAUAUUGUUAACUUUUUUUUUUAUUAUGAACAAAUUAUUAUAUAUUUAAAUGAAAAUAUGAUAAAUUUUAAACUUAAAUUGAACUUAUAUAUAUACCACUUACAUAUAGCAAUCUGACAAUCUAAAAAAUUGGUUAUAGGUUUAAAUUUAAACUAAUUAUAUUUAUAACUAAUUAGUCACAACAACACUAUAUUGAUAUAGAAAAAAUAAUGCAUUAAAAAAAAUUUACAAUCUAAACCUCCAAUCAAAAUAAUUCUUAAAAAAUUGAACAUUCACAUGAUUUAAAAUUUGAACUUAAAAAAUUGGUUUUAGGUUUAAAUUUAAAGUUAUGAUCAUCAACUACUAUUUUGACUAUUUUUUAAAAAAAUUCAAAAACCGUGAUCACCAAUUAUAGUUUUGUGAUGUGAAUACCCACAUGAAUAAGACACACAUCGCAUUGAAAAUUAUUUUGAGAAUAAAAUUAAUUUAUGAAUUUUUUGUUUUAAAGAAAUCAUUUUUGCCCAAAACUCCCGUUAGUAUCCAAUAAGGAACAUUUUUCUUAUUCUCAAUGAAUUUACAAAAAUAUUUCAAAAGCAUUUUCAUCUAUUUACCAAAACAGUUAAACUAAAUAGUGAAUUGAUUGGAAAAAUAAAGGUAUUUUCUUUCUACAAUUCUAUAUUUUAUGAAGUGGAAAAACAAAUUCUAUUAGGUUGACAUUUUAAGUUUAAAAUUUUAAGCCUUUCUAUUCCAUUUUGAUCCCAUUUUGAAAGGAAAAAAAAAUGGAAAAAAAAUUAUUUUUGUUGUAUUUAAGUAAUUUUCCAAUUAUUUACCACUUGAAGUCAUAUUAUAUUUUGUACAAAUGCAUAAUUGGCUUUAAUUUUUGCACAAAGUUACAAAAUAAUAUAAUAUUCUUCAUUAUGAGGGUAUAAAAUAAAAUAGUAUUGUAGACCCCCAUUUUGGGGGAGACAUCUCUACAACCCGAUUAUGACAAGUGUCAUCGUCUGGGAUGACCACGUGUCACUCCAGGACUGGUUGAUAAGGUAUCAAGCUAAUGGCUUUGUUAGCCAAUGAAAACUUCACACAUGGAAAUUAGACUCACAAGGGCAAGCUAUCGCACCUGCCAUCAUCACUCCACCUGGACUCACCCCCACAUGCUUCCAGUUGCAUGGCCACCUUUUGGCAUGCAACAUUUGGAUCCUAUGGUCCUCCUUUUUUUUUUUUUUUUAUUCUUUAAUUUUGAAAAUAAUUUUCCCUAAUCCCGUUCCUCAAAUAAUUUUGUCCAGAGUUCAGUUUUUCUUUAAAAAUAAUUUCAAUUCUUCCACUUUUCAUCCUUAUAAUGUUUAGGUUCCAAAAAUCCGUUCUUCAAUAAAAAUUGGUUGCCACUUUCUUUCUGGCAAGCCAUUUUCACACCUCUUCUAUUUUUAAAAAUGUUUUGAAAUAAGCAAAGAUUAAGUUCCGUAAUUCCGACUAAUGGAAUUUAUGGAAUUAAUUCAUGUUAAAAUAAACAGGGCUUUGGUGGGGGCCCUACAUAAAUAACUGUAAAAUUGAUGGAUUGAUUGAUUGGUUGAUUUAUUUGCCAUGCAUGAUUAAUUUACUCUAUUCUUUGAUAUGCGCUUAAUUCUAUCCGUUCAUUGUUCACUAACCAUGUUUCAUGAUAGCGCAUUCGCGAUUGUCGCCCAGGUACGCAUCUAUUCAUAUUUUGCUCAUUCUUUAUACAUGUUUUGCUUCUCAUAUUGUGCAUGAUCGAUUUGAGUAUUCAUCAAUUUUCUUGAUGACUGUCACGUCAGCUUCAUUCUAUUAGUAGAGACCCAACUCUAGGGACUUAGAGGGGUGCUACGGUCCACGCCGUACCUUCCCGAUAAGUAACCUGACCCCCGAGCCCGAUCCGGUUUUUCGUAGAUCGCCUUUUCUAAAAUAAGGAGUCACACUUAGGGUUUUUCUUUCUUAUUUUGUUUACCCUUUAAAAAUAAAACAAAAAUAAGUGGCGACUCCAAGUCUUUUUUCUUAAUCAAUAAAAAUCAUUUUUCAAAUAAAAAUCGAGCUCGCCAUCGAGUGGGAAACGCAUGAGCCGAAAUGCGGGGUCCACAAGUAUAUUUAUAACUAAUUAUAUUUAUAUUGAGAAUAGUGCUAAAUAUUUUAAUAAAAUUAAACAAAAAUAUUUUUAUAUCAAAUUAAAGAUAUCAAUUAUUUAAUUUCAUAUAUUACUAUUCUUUAAAUAAUGAGAUCAAUUAAAGUUAAAUAUUUUUAUUAAACCACUCACAUAUUUUUAGUCAAUAUAAAAUCAAAAUAAUAUAAUAUUUUUAUUUAAAAAAAUUAAAGUUAAAUAUUUUAAAUAUAUAUAUAUAUAUAUAUAAUUAAAGUUAAAGUCAUAGUCGGUGACUACGACUUUGACUACUUUUAAAAACAGUCAAAGCCAUAGUCACCAACUACGGUUUUGACUGUUUUUUAAAAAUAAAACCGUAGUUACCAACUACGGUUUUAUAAUGUGGCAAUCUACAUGACACAAACGCAUUAGAUUGGACAUUAUUUUGGAAAUCGGUUUACUUUAUGAAAUUUUUUUUAAAUGUUGCAUUUUGGGUCAAAGCUCUUAAAUGCAUCUAAGUCUCGGGAAAUCAGAUCACCUUUUCAAGGAGAAGCAGGCCAAUUGACAUGCAGUAAGAACCAACAAUUUCGAUUCAUUGCAAUCGCCCAUACCAAUAACAGUCACCUAAGCCCUGAGCCCCACUUGUAGAUGCUCGCGUGGCCACCUUGCAAUACUUGGAGUCAUUGUGCGCACCUCAUCGGGAGUUGGCAAAGUGAUGUAGCUCUCUUGCUAAUCUGUACCAGAAGAAGCUUUGGCAUCAGCUUACCCUUAAGCCCAAAAGGUUCAUCACCUUGGGAGUCUUUCUGUUUCUAGGCAUGAUAUAGAGAAAGAAGCUGCAUUGGACCUACUUCCCAGCCACGUUGCUAGUUCCACCCAUCCACCACCAUCCUACCUACACGCAUGUGACCCAUGUAUGCAUGGCCACCCAAAACCUUUCUAAAGCCUCCAUCAAAGUCUCAAAUUUUCACUACACUCACCACCAUCAUAUUACCCAUAUCUCUAUCCUUCAUACCCACCAAAACCCAUCACCUUGAUCACCCUUUGAACAUCACCCAGUUUCGGUCCUUCAGUUCCAACUAAUCUAGACCACUUUUCAAUUGCUAUUGCACCAGCCUAUGUGCAUUAAAACGAACAUGCAUAGCUUCAUUCUCGUGUGUGGCAGUUAUCAACUUGGAGGAAAUGCACAACCAACUCAUUCAACAAGCUCCAUCUUUUUCCACUCAGCAUGGAUCUUCGAACACCACCCAGUUUCGGUCCCCUGAAAUUACCAAUUUUCAUCACCCACUCCUAUGUGCAUGUCCACCCUCAUGUCCCCAUCCUUCAUACCCACCACUAACAAUUGGUCCCAUAUAAACCCACAAUUUCUCCAUCCUUCAUACCCAUAAAACUUAACACUACACCUAACAUCACUUGCCUUUCAAGUAUCUGGCACGAGAUAGUGAUGAUUUUUUGGGUAUGCCCAAAAUAGGCAGUCAAAGGAAGAUUUGGAAUUAUUUGAGGAGCCCUCCUUAACCCAUGCAAGAUUCAUGGCAAUGAGAAAUGGGUCAAAGAGUUAGAAGUCUUCUUCGCAAGCUGCUGCAAAUCAAGACUCACUAGUAUUUGAAGGACCAAAGUCGACACGGACGCUUGGUAUUUAUGCUCAGGAGCUGAAAAUCCAGCCAUGGAAAUCAUUGAAAACUUAUUAUCUUCCACAUCACUUGUACAAAACACAGGGAAUGAUGCAACUUCUACCAACGACAAUGGUGUUGGAUUUCGCUUAUUAGCCUGUUUCCAUGCCACUAUUGAGAUAUUCAGGUUUUAGUUGCUACUGUGCACGGUUUCAUCAUCAACCGCUGCACCUGCGAGCCUUUUCCAUUCUUUACCUUAGUGGCAACUUUCCCAUUACCUAUGGGGCAUUUGAUGGCUUCGAGAGGUGUGACAAGGAAAGUAAGUGGGGUUCCGAUGAAGAAGAUGAUUGUACCGAGAUUGAAGGGGUCACAUCUGGAGAUCCAAGAAGCCCCAACUCUACCAGUUUCGGGCAUGACACUUUUUGCUCAUGUUUCCAAUUCAACUUAUUCGAUUGACUCUAGUGAUCAUUCAAUUUGGGAGCUACAUUGCUUGACGGGUCAAUCGUCGAGUCGUCACCUCAGAUCUUGGCACCAUGAGCUUGAAAAUGGCCUCACGUGCAUGAAGUUUCUGCAUGUACAACUUUCGGUGCACCACUCGAGAACACGUAGCCUUUUUUAAUCCGGUGGUAUUCUUGUUUAUAACAGUGAAAUAUUUGGAAGAAUUCAUGUUGGCAACAGCUAUAGAUGCUCGAAAUUCAAUCUGGACACAACUAUAUUACUCAUGAACCUAUCGCUAAGGAAGCCAUGAUGGAAUACAUGAAAAUGGUUCCUCAACAACAUAGGCCACUGUAUGGGAGAUAGGUGGGUGUGCUGAAACCAAUCGAGAUUUAGAAAUCCCAACCAACUAAAUAUGGUCCCAUUAGCUUCUUUCCAUCUUUCCCACUUGCAAGCACAUAAUGUGACGAAGUUGAGUGAAGGAACAUGCCUUGAUGAGCUGAUUCAGCUUACCAACUAAUGAUUAAUGAUGGAGUGAUGCUUUUAUGAGGUUCUUUGGUUAUACAAUCAUGCAGAGUUGAAGAAUGAAUUGAUGAUAAUAUAUAUUAAAUUCGUUGAGUCGAGUUAUGCUGAAUUCUUGUUUGGGAAGCAUCCUUGUUGUUCAAAUGAACUGAACACCUCUCUGAGAAGUGGUUGUGUAGCAUGCUAAGCUGGUCGCCCGAGUUGAAAGAGGUUGUUGUGAAACUGAGCAAGUUGUUGUGUUUAAGCAAAGAGAGAUACUCUCUGUGGACCACGUCAUCAUGAAUCAAAAUUGCUUGUUGUCAACAACAUCACCCUUUUAGAGUUUGGUGUCUUGGGAUUUGAAUUGGGUUUCAAUGGCAUGUCCAAAUGUUUUGGUAAUGUGGCUACUGAGAUGAUGUACAUGACUUCAAAAGUUGACUACAAUGAUUGAUGAGCAAGAUGCAUUAGAGCUUGUUUUUCCAACUCUACCACCUAUACCUAAGCACAUGACACUACUAUCACAUGGCUUGCGUGGCCACCUUUGGCAUGCAAUUUAUUUUUCCCCAUAGGCCACAUAUUUCUAUCCUCUUAAUUCUUCAUGCCUUCAAAAAUCGAUAUUCCAAAAAAGUAAUUUAUUUAUUUAUUUUAUUAUUAUUAUUAUUAUUAUUAUUUUAUCAUUUCAAGACCGUAAUUUUUCAUUCUUCAUAGAGUUUUAGGUCACCAAAAAUCCAAUUUUAAUAAACAUUUUGCUACCAUUUUCUAUAUGGCAUGCACUUUCACAAAUUUUAUUUGAUUUUAAAAUAAUUUUCAAUUUUUUUUUACAUUUUUAAGCAUGAAUAAAAUUAUGUAAUUCCAAAGAUAAUGGGAUUUAUCGGAUUCAUUCAUACAAAAUCAAUUGGGCUUUGGUGAGGCCUGACAUAUGAGAUUCUCUCGUUGGUUGAUUGAUUGUUAUGUUUGAUUGAUUUUGCCUACUCCUUGACAUGCAUGUGAUUAUUUUAUAUUUGAGCUAAUCUUGUUUUUAUGAUAGCACUCAACUUGCAACUAAGGUACUAUCCUCAAAUUUUUCUUGCUUAUUCAUUUUUUAUUUUCAGGAUUCUCAUUUAUUGGUAUUCAAUGAUUAAUUGAUCAAUUGCCAUAUUCGCCUCACCUUGAUUAAUAGAGACCUCAUUAUAGGGUUUAAGGGGUGUUAUGGUCUUUCACCGUAUCUUCCCAAUAGGUAACUUGACCCUCGAACCUAAACUCAGUUUCUCACAAACUUGUUUUCCUUCAAGAGUCACACUUAAAGGUUUUUUCUUUCUUAUUUUAUUUUUUCUCUUUAAAAAUAAAAUAAAAAUAAGUAGUGACUCUAAGUCUAUUCUAAAAAUCAUAAUUUUCACCAAAUAAAUUAAAAGUGAGUCUCGUGUGGGAACGCACAUGAAAAAUACGGGUCCACACUUAUUUUUGGUCAAAACUCAUCUCCAUGUCUCACCAACUACCUAAUUGCUCCACAUCACCUCUGAAUUUUCCAACUCGCCCAACAUGCCACUAGUUCACACUUUUUUUUUACCUGAAUGGUCUUUAUGCUUUUCCCUAUGAAUACCUCAUCUUGCAAAACUCCUUUUUCUUCUAGAAUUCUCGUCCCAGCUUCUUCUAAUUCUUUUACUCAUGUGACCUCACAAAGAAAAUCUAUGUUAAGGCAAAUCAUACACUAACAAAAAUUAAAAUUCAUUUCAUGCAAAAAGUAAAUACUUAAUGCAUGUGAUUCAAAGUUAAAAAUAAAUUUUAUGUAACCAAAAAUUUAAAAUCAAAAUCAUGUAGUUAGCAAUUGAAAAAAUCGAUCAAACAAAAAUAAUCAAAUAUCACAAUUUCCAUUUCAUGCACACAAAAAUCAAAUUAUCUAUCACACAUCAAAAAAAUGAUCCACACACAAACAAAGAUCAAAAUCGAUCCAAACGCAUUCAAUAUGAAAACCAUGUCCUAGAAAAAUCAGUCAAAUUUUAAUACACUAAAAGAAACUCAAUUAAUUAAACAAAAUCCUUAAAAAAAUAAGAGGUCACUCAAAAAUCACAAUAAAGAUCCUUAAAGAGUCUCACUCAAAAUAUCUCCAAAGAUAGUGACUAAGAGAGUCACGAUGGACUACCAACGAGAACUCAAAAAGGGCUAAAAAAAGGACUAUUAGGAAUUUGAGGCUAAUCCAAACUAUGGUAAUCAUCCUAGAGGGGGGGGGUAAAUAGGGUGAUGGUCUCUUUUUCACAAAUUUAAACAAGUGAAAAAAUAAGAGAUAAUUAUAUGCAAAUAUAUAAUAAACAAAAUAAACACAAUUGCAUAUAAUUUAAAAGAGUUAGGGAAGAGAGAGUGCAAACACGAGAGUUUAUAGUGGUUCGACACUUCCUUACUUACGUCCACUCUUCUCAACCUCCUAACUGAGUGAGGGUUCCACUAUCUUGAAGCUUCAACCAAGCUUCCAAUCUCUUUACAAUUGGAUUAUGGUUUCAAUUCACCAUCUUGGACUUUUGGCUCCAAGUACCCUUUACACUUCUCAAGAGUUAUCCCACUUUUGAACAACCUCUCAAGUGAUACCCCUCACUUGAGAAAAUUCCUCUCAAAGAUAUACAAAUAAUGAUCUCACAAAAAUCCUAGUAAUAGAACUUUAGACUCAAAGAUACAAGAAAAACUAGGAUUGAAUGGUGCACUAAAGAUAUGCAAGUUAUGAAACAAUGGUGCACUCAAAAACACUUUUCCAAGGCUCAAAUAUAUUCAAGAAUGAUUUGGGAAGGUUAGACUUAUGAAACAAUGAAGAUUGGAGCCUUUUUAUAGAAGAAAAAAGUCAAACUAGCCGUUGGGGGUUCGACCGGUCUAGCUAGGGGUCGACCGGUUGAUUAGCAGUUAGGAAAAGUGACCGUUAGGCCUCAAUCGGACCUCAACCGGUUGAGGUUCAACCUUAACCGGGAAGAGAAGACCACUGGGAGAGAGAGAAACUUUUUGGCCUCCCUCAACCGGUCAUCGACCGAACAAGCACAACCGGUCGACUGGUUGACCCAUUUUUUUUGCUCAACACUCAACCUUUGUCAACUUAAAACUUUUUAACACAAGUUUGAAAAUCAUUUAACACAAGGUUUUAGUUGAAAACAUGAAAUAUCCAAUUCUUAAGAUAUUUAAAACAAUAUUACUCUUGAAUGAUUUUGGUGCAUAAAUAAAGAAUGAAAUGCAUGAAAGUCUUAGUGCACCAACAACCUUACAAAGAGAUCUUAAGAAACUUUGGUAUUGAAAAACUCUUCUCUUUGAGGUGGUCCUCUUCUUCAUGAUUUCUCCUUGGCUUGAUUUGUCUUUGGAUUGCCACUUUGGAAGUCGUCUUGCCUAAUCACACUUGAAAUAUGAUCAUUAGUUCUAAACCUUGUUUUAUUAUCAUCAAAAUCAAGAUUAACCAAACUUUGGUUUCACAAGGACCAUAAGUGAACAAUAUGGUAACAAAUGAUUUAGGAAGACAAUCUUGGAUGAAAUGUGCCAAGAGGACAAAAUAGAAAGUCUACACUUAUAUUUUUUUAUAAAUAUUUAAAUGCAACUUUUAAUUGUAGUGUUUUAUUUUUAAUUAUUUUUAUAUUUAUAUAAUAAUUCUUUUAAAAUAACCUUGGAAAAAAAUUACCAAACAUGUUUUUUUUUUUUUAAGAAUAAAAACUGCUUUUAAAAUAAGCUUUUCAAAGAUAUUCUUAAUUUCCUAAUUAUUUCGCCUAUGUGACUCACUUGUAAAUCCAUUCUACUUCCUAAUACUCUUGAGUUUUCCUUUUUAAUUUUAUUUUUAAAAUUUAUGAAAAUCUUUUUUAAUUGUUUCAUAGGAAAAAGAAUUUAAAUGAAUUUGAUCAUUUAUUUGGACUAAAAAUUGGAUGUAACCAUAAUGAUUUAAAUAAUUAAAUAUCUAUUUACAUAUACUUCCCAUUUUUUAUUUUUAGAAUUAUAAAUUUUUAUAUAAAAAUAAAAUAUCUUUUUCAAAAAGAAUAGAUUUAUCUUAUGAUUUUAAAAAUCUCUUUAUAGUAUACCUCAAUUUUUUUAAAAAAUAAUUUUAAAAGCUAUUACUUUUUUUUUCAAUAUAAAUCUAUAAGAAUUCUUAUAUAUUAUAUCAAAGUUAUUAUUUCAAAGAGACAAAGUUUGCGAAUUACUAACUACAUAACAUGAAAGCAGAAAAAUUCAAUCAUUUAAUAAAUGAUUCUAUACUAUCUUGUUUGGCUAAUUUAUCAUGACCACAAAAUUUAAUUUUACAUUUAUUAAUGAAAUUGGCAAACACAUUGCGGAAAAGUUGUAUUGUUAUUGGGAUGAAAUAUAUGUUAUUUGUAUCUUAUUCAAUAUAUCAUUUUUGGACUUAUUUAAUAACUAUUUUAAAAAAUAAUUUUUGAAAACUGUUAUUUCAUAUUUUAUAAAACAAAAGUCUAUUUGAAAAUAUAAAAUAUUUUAAAGUUAUUUUUAAUGUUUUUAAAUGUAUUUAAUUUUUUUUUAUCUAUAAUAUUUUAUUUUAAAAUAUUUUAGGUAUGUGUAUAAUUAUUUUUUAAAAUAAUUUUUAGAAAAUAAGUAAAAUAUAUAUAUAUAUAUAUAUAUAUAUAUAUAUAUAUAUAUAUAUAUAUAUAUAUAUAUAUAUAUAUAUAUAAAAGAAAAUAUUAUCCGGUAACAUUUCUACUCUUUAAGAAUUAAAACGUGUUUUUCUAUUUUUUUAUUAUAGGUAACCGAGAACGAAGAAAGCUACCAAACAUAGCCUUAAUUUCUUGUUUCGAACUCAUUCUCAUCGAUCAUGUUUUUCUUGUCUUUCACUGGUUCGAAUUGAUUGCAGAUGUGUGCCAUCGAUUCGUGUAUAAUAAUUAACAGGCAAUAAUCUCAGAAUUUUAUAGUUUUACACAUCCACCAAAUUGUUUUCUCGUGUCAUGAAAACUCUCAGGGUUUUACAUGAAUGUUCACGACAAACCCUCUUUUCCUCGAUCUCAAGAGCUUUAGCAUCAGCAGCAACAACUACACAGCUCCACAAACUCCACUCCCUUAUCAUCACUUUGGGUCUCCACCACUCUGUCAUCUUCUCCGCUAAGCUCAUUGCCAAGUACGCUCAUUUCAGAGACCCCACUUCUUCUUUCUCUGUUUUUCGACUUGCUUCUCCUUCAAACAAUGUUUAUUUGUGGAAUUCAAUCAUAAGGGCACUAACCCAUAAUGGGCUUUUCUCCGAAGCUCUUAGUUUAUACUCUGAAACGCAGAGAAUUAGGCUUCAGCCUGAUACUUACACUUUCCCUUCUGUCAUCAAUGCCUGUGCCGGGUUAUUGGACUUUGAGAUGGCUAAGAGCAUUCAUGAUCGUGUUUUGGAUAUGGGUUUUGGUUCGGAUUUGUAUAUUGGGAACGCUUUGAUUGACAUGUAUUGUAGGUUCAAUGAUUUGGAUAAGGCGCGUAAGGUGUUUGAAGAAAUGCCUCUUAGAGAUGUUGUUUCUUGGAAUAGUCUGAUUUCGGGGUAUAAUGCAAAUGGGUAUUGGAAUGAAGCUUUGGAAAUUUAUUAUCGUUUCAGAAAUCUUGGUGUGGUGCCAGAUUCGUACACUAUGUCCAGUGUUUUACGAGCCUGUGGAGGUUUAGGUUCUGUUGAAGAGGGUGAUAUAAUUCAUGGAUUGAUAGAAAAGAUUGGGAUAAAAAAGGAUGUAAUUGUGAACAAUGGGCUCCUUUCCAUGUACUGCAAGUUUAAUGGAUUAAUAGAUGGUAGAAGGAUUUUUGAUAAGAUGGUACUUAGAGAUGCGGUUUCUUGGAACACAAUGAUUUGUGGGUAUUCUCAAGUGGGGUUGUAUGAAGAAUCUAUCAAAUUGUUUAUGGAGAUGGUGAAUCAAUUUAAACCAGACUUGUUGACCAUCACAUCCAUCCUUCAAGCUUGUGGUCAUCUAGGGGACUUAGAAUUUGGAAAAUAUGUCCAUGACUACAUGAUCACAAGUGGGUAUGAAUGUGAUACUACAGCGAGCAAUAUUCUUAUCAAUAUGUAUGCAAAGUGUGGUAAUUUAUUGGCUUCACAGGAAGUUUUUUCUGGAAUGAAAUGCAAGGAUUCUGUGUCAUGGAACUCAAUGAUCAAUGUUUAUAUUCAAAAUGGAAGUUUUGAUGAAGCAAUGAAGUUGUUUAAGAUGAUGAAGACCGAUGUGAAACCAGAUUCAGUCACUUAUGUGAUGCUCCUAUCUAUGUCCACUCAAUUAGGAGACCUACACCUGGGGAAGGAACUUCACUGUGAUCUAGCAAAAAUGGGAUUCAAUUCAAAUAUAGUUGUGAGUAACACUCUUGUGGAUAUGUAUGCCAAAUGUGGAGAAAUGGGGGAUUCACUUAAAGUAUUUGAGAAUAUGAAAGCCCGUGAUAUAAUCACAUGGAAUACUAUUAUUGCCUCAUGUGUUCAUUCUGAGGAUUGUAAUUUAGGAUUGAGAAUGAUCAGUCGAAUGAGGACUGAAGGAGUGACACCAGAUAUGGCUACGAUGUUAAGCAUCUUGCCUGUGUGUUCUUUACUUGCUGCCAAACGACAAGGGAAAGAGAUCCAUGGCUGCAUUUUCAAAUUGGGUUUGGAGUCAGAUGUUCCAGUUGGUAAUGUAUUGAUUGAAAUGUACUCCAAAUGUGGUAGUUUAAGGAAUUCAUUUCAAGUAUUCAAGCUUAUGAAGACAAAAGAUGUGGUGACAUGGACAGCGUUGAUCUCUGCAUGUGGUAUGUAUGGUGAAGGCAAGAAAGCUGUGAGAGCUUUUGGAGAGAUGGAAGCAGCUGGUAUUGUUCCUGACCAUGUUGCCUUUGUUGCUAUCAUCUUUGCAUGUAGCCAUUCUGGUUUGGUAGAAGAAGGUCUUAAUUACUUUCACCGGAUGAAGAAAGACUAUAAAAUUGAGCCUAGGAUUGAGCACUAUGCUUGUGUAGUUGAUCUUCUAUCCCGAUCUGCUCUUUUAGAUAAAGCAGAGGAUUUCAUCCUUUCCAUGCCAUUGAAGCCAGAUUCAAGUAUAUGGGGGGCUUUACUUAGUGCUUGUCGGAUGAGUGGAGACACUGAGAUUGCAGAACGUGUCUCAGAACGGAUCAUCGAAUUGAAUCCAGAUGAUACUGGGUAUUAUGUUUUAGUCUCAAAUAUUUAUGCAGCUUUAGGGAAAUGGGAUCAAGUGCGCUCAAUACGGAAAUCGAUCAAAGCUAGAGGAUUGAAAAAAGACCCUGGAUGUAGCUGGAUGGAAAUUCAAAACAAGGUCUAUGUUUUUGGCACUGGGACCAAGUUCUUUGAACAGUUUGAAGAGGUUAAUAAGUUAUUAGGCAUGCUUGCAGGCUUGAUGGCUAAGGAAGGUUAUAUUGCCAAUUUGCAAUUUGUACUGCAUGACAUUGAUGAGGAUGAGAAGAGAGACAUACUUUGUGGGCACAGUGAAAGGCUUGCCAUAGCAUUUGGGUUGUUAAAUACUAAACCAGGUACCCCUUUGCAGGUAAUGAAAAAUCUUCGGGUUUGUGAGGAUUGCCACACUGUGACCAAGUACAUAUCAAAGAUAGUGCAAAGAGAAUUAUUAGUUAGAGAUGCCAAUCGCUUUCAUGUGUUCAAGGAUGGAGCCUGUAGUUGUGGAGAUUAUUGGUAAGGGAUAUGAUAACAUCUUUGAAUGAUUGAACAAGAUUGACAAUGGAAGAAAAAGGGAGCAUUUUUUUAUGUAUCAUAUGGAUGCCCAUAUUGGGAAAGGUCAGACUGGCUUCACAUUAUGCCAUUAUUUGAUCAUGUUCGAUGUUUUGAAUCUUUUGAUACCCAGCUUUUUUAUUACAGGAGUAUUCGGAGCAUCAAAGUACAACUUACCUCUCAAGUUCCCAUAUGACACCAUAAAGUUGUUUGAAAUAUUUUAGCUGAAAUUGGGGUCCCGAGAUAGUCAGCUGUCAAAAUCCCUUUGUCAUAACCUGAAGUUUCCAAUGGUGGCAGAAGCUCAAGUAAGAAAAUAUAUGCCCCUAAGUUUGGAAUAUGGCUGAUAUUUUAAGUUAAUUAAAGUUAUGAUUGAGAUUACAUCUUAUUGAGUCACCCCUUAACUAGUUACUCUCACACCUGGAAAUUACUUGAUGAGAAGCUAGACUAUGUAGUGUUUUCAUUUGAAUGAAUUUGAUCACAUGAAGCAAAUUCCGUAAACAAAAUUCUCAGGCUUCUGGAAUUGAGGAGUAACCUUGUCCCUUUUCAUUGUAUGUAGAAAAGGGAACUGAAAUAAAGAAAUUCUAUAAACAACUAAAACACACAACUUCCUCUAGAUGCUUUUUUUUUUAGGCUACUUUUGAUUUUUUUUUUUUCCUACAUUCAUAUUUUUUUUGUUCUUUUUGUCACGUUGUUCAUUUUCUUUUUUGUUGUAGAAUUGAGAAGUAUAAGAAACAUUGAGAUUUGGCCUAAUUGAUACUGGGGGGUUUGAUCUUAAUGGAGAAAGCAACUAAAUAAGGAAAGCAAAGUAAGUUUGCAAAUUCAUGUGCAUUUUCUUUUCAUGUGCUUUUGUUUUUCCUUUUGGAAGGAUGUUGGAUUUUUAGGUAUCUGGUAUAUGCAUUUUAACUCGUGAUUCAUCGUUUUCUGGUUCUGUUCACAUUCUUCCUUAUGCAUGUCCUUUACAUGGAGAAGUUUAAGAAAAGGUCGAGGAGUUAGUCAAGGUGGUCAGAGUUCCAUUCCCAUUUUCUGGUUCCUGAUUUCUUGGAAAUGUUUGAAAUUCUGUGUCCUUUUACAUUAUCAUAAAGGCAUUGUAUGUAGUACUUGUUGCUAGAGGUGUGUCAUCAGCAAUUACAUCAAUAAUGAUUCUUUUCUCUUUCCCCUGUUCAUUUCUUGCUUUGGAAAUUAAAAGAGCCUUUUGCCUGCAAUUCUGUACCUUAUUGCGUCAUAGACAGUAUUUUACUGGAUUGGACUUGAUUUCUGCAAAAUGCACCAUACUGUUCAUGGUGUUAAAAUCUGAUUUGAGUUAUAGGCUUGAAGUUGUCAUUUGUAAUUUGCCAGAUGUCAAACUUUUUUGUGAGCUCUUCAAUAUCAAAUAUCAAUAUGAAAACCAUUUUGUUUUUUGAAAUGCAAUUUUUGUCUCAGACUCAAAAUAGCUGAGGACAGGGCUUUCUAAUAAUGAUACUUGCAAGGAGUUCUUAAAUAGGAAAGAAAUAGAGCACAGAGCCCUCCCUUUAUGGUACUUCAAAUACAAACUUAUUUGAAAAUUCCACUUGCACACAUACACACAUUGAUAUGCAAUAUGAUAUGUAUCUGAUUCUUAUUCAUUCUACUUCAUUAAUCCUAGAGGUUCAUGGCAGGAAUCAUGAACUGGUUCAUUUAGAUGCUGCUGCUGUGCAGCUGGCAUCAAGAAGGGCAUGGCAAUUGGCAAGCAUUUGGGCUUGAGGUGGCCAGUUAUCUUUAAUUAUCUGAGCAUCUGCAAAAUCUUGUAUCCAUGCAGACAACAAUGGCAACCUCUCCUCAUGCACAAUCUUCAGGCCAGCAAUGUCCUUCAAUAUGCUGAUCAAGUUAUCAAGCCAACCUAAUGCAAGAUCAACAAAUCUGAUGGUGUCCUCCUGCCACGAAUUUUUCAGGGUCUCCAUAAGUCGAAUUUUGCCUUCCUCCUGCUAUUUCCCUUGCUUGAUGAAGACACCCUGGACUGAUGUCAAACCCUACACCAAAACAAAUUCACAUGUAGCAAACUAUAAAGCCUUUCUCAAAGCUGUUUCAAGUGAGGAAAAACUUGAAAGAACAACCUUUUUGUCACCUAAUUUGGCCCAGAAGCAUGCCCUGACUUUCUGAUAGGGGUCCUUGGGCAACAGGGGAGCUUGCUUCCUUCCCUCAUCAAUGUUUUUGAGAAUGACAAGCAAUUCAUCACCAGUUUUUCCAUUGUGUACAAGCACUGGAAUCUUUUUGUAGGCAGGAUUAUAACGGAGGGCUCUUGUUGAAGAGAUUUCCAACAAUGGUUUCGUAUUCUAUGCCUUUGAUUUUGAGAGCCCAAACAAUCCUCAGAGCAAAAGGGUUUGUCCAUGUUCUGAAAAGCUUCACCUAUUCUGCCAUAAUGUUUUGACCCAGCAAAUGAAAUAGCAGCUGAGGUGUCCCUUUCAUCCAGAUUUGUGCCAUGGAAUUUUCCAAUAUUUUACUUUAAAUAUCACAUUUUCCUCAUGUUUCCUCAGAAUAUUAUCCAUUCCCUCCCUUAGUUUGUUCUCUAACUUUGGAAUAUGGAUAAAAAGCUUUCCUUUUCCCAGGUGUGAUGAUCUGCAGAUGGAGGGUGCUGUUUGCAGUGAUUGUAGAGGGUACAGAAUGACCUGCUUGUGUGCAUGUGCUGUUCGAAGCGUUUGUAUAAAACAAUUUAUCCUCAAUGGUGGCCUCUCCUAUUUUUAUCUGGAUGGAGCCUUCUUAUUAAGAUGGGUGUUAGGGCACAGAUUUGCCUUUCUCAAAUGAAUGCACAGGUAACAAUUAUUUUGAAGGAAAAUUAUAUCAUUUUAUAACUUACAAAACAAUCAUGAAAAUUAACAAGAUAAAAUUAUAUGAUUACUCCAACCUUCUCUUUAAAUCCACCACUAAAAUACAAUCUCAAGUGGCAUGGGAGUAGUAUGUCAGCAACAAACAAAGAAGCACUCAUUGAAACUGGCUUUGGUUUUUAAAUAUUUUGUGGAAAUCUAGUCUACCCUAUUAGUCUAUCACAUACGCAAGCCGACAAAAAUACAAUUGCCAACAAACAUCUGAUAAAAAUUCAUAGUCUCUAAGGAAUCACACUGGUGGAACCUGUGGGCUUGUAACGCUUGUGCCUAUGGGACCGCAUAGUGUGAACCCAUGACUCAUAUGGAUUAACGAGAUUCCCAUUGUCCAGUCUAUUAUCUAGCAAAACCACAGCCAAGGGAAUAGGUUGGCAGAAUCAGCGUGGCAAAAAGAUCCUGUUGAACUUAACUCUAGUCCGAUUUUGUGAAAUGACUUAAGAGGUGUAGGAUAAGUGAGACCUAACCAUAAUCUCUCUAAAAAACUGGCUACAAAGGCUCACCUUCACAUAGCUAGUUAACAGGUUGAGGUCUCGUUCGUUAACAGAAUUAACCAGAUAAAUUGCUCCACCAACUAAGAAUGACCAUGCACCACCACCCAUAGAAUCAAGAGCUCUCAAUCUAUGGUUAAGGAUAAAAAUACAGGUCUUUGUUAAAAGUUGUGGUAUCAAUAAUUGACUUGAAAGGUCUUGCAUAUUGAUUUUAGUGUCUUGACUUGAUAUCAAAUUAUAUGCAAAAUAAGAUUGUUAAAAAAUUAAAAAAAUUAUUGGAAAAAUAAAUAAAAUUAAAUAAGCUUAAAAAUUUAAUAAACUUAAAAAUAUAUUAAUAUAAUAAUAUUUAAUUUAUUAUUAAAAAUAAAUUAACAUAUAAAAUAAUAUACUAUAUAUAUGAUAUUAUUACUAUAUAAAAUAAUAGCUUAAAUUGAUGCAAUUGAUACCACAAUAAUAAAUUAUUGAAUUUUCACUUUUUCUUUUAUCAAUCUCCAACCAUAUAGGAAAUAUGUCAUUUGUAAGGCAGUAAACAUUUAAAUAACUAAUUAUUUUUACAUAAAAUAAUACAUUACACCCUUUUCUUCAUAUUCCCAAUCUCAAAUACAGUAACCAUAAUACAUUCUUCAAAUUCCCAAUCCUAAACACCAGGAACCACAACAUGAAGAGAGAGAUGUUGACCAUCAACCUCAAUGAGAGAGAGAGACUGAGGGUAGUCGGUGACUCGCAGAGCACACCCACUCCAUGUUAACAUGCAGAGAUCGCUGUUAAUGGAAGGAAUUUGAUGUUUUUUCACCAGUUAAAACAAUCACCACAACGACAUCUUCAAUGCAAAGGCGCUGCACUCCAGCCUUGAUGUCUUCUUUCUUCUUCCUUUUCUUCUUCAUUAUGGGUAGAGUCAUGGGUCUAAGAAAACUUUUCUUUUGAAGAGAAUUUUUGUUUUUUUAUGAGAUUUCUCAAUUUGGAUUGCUGUUUGAUGUUCUUUUAUUGUGAUUUAAAAAGGGAAAAUUGAGUUUUGGAUUUAAUAGGAGAAAUUUUUUACAACUUGGAGGAUUCAACCAAGUCAACUUGGAAUCUCGAUCGAGUCAACUGAAUUUGAUCAAUUUUUAGCCGAGUUUGGGUUGAAGAUGGUAUCAGGUAUUGAACUGGGUAAGAAAAAGUUCCGAGGUAGAUAUGACUCGACUGAUACUUUGAACUUUGUUCUUGAUCUCAUGUUCCAUAGUUGCAUACAUGUUAAUACAAUGUGAAGUUUCUCCAUGAUUCUGUGGUGAACCCAAUGAAAUCCCUUCUCAACUGGGCUAUGCAAGUUGCUAAGCGAAAGCAAGGCAUAGAAGACAUAUAGGAGAGGUUGCACGACAUUUGGGAACAUUAGGGAUGCUAAUGAAGUUAGUGAAAGGGAAGUAGAAGACAUCAUCGCAGUGUAGAGGGUAGCAAUAGGAGUAGAAGAGAGAUAGGUGUCGAAGCUUAACUUAAUCCCGAAUGCUAAUACAAAUGCUAGUAGGCUAGUGUUGGCUCCUUGACUUAAACAUUUCAGUGCUAAGGACUUCAUAGGAAAGCACCUUGCACCCAUGAGGGCCCUAAGAAAAAGCAAGGUGGAGUCAUGGGUGUAAUAGCAUGACUCAUUGUUGCACCAAGAGAGUGCUUGGUCAUGACAUGGUGUCGUAGUAGCAAUAAGAUGAAUGCAUGAGUAGGCUGUCUUGGCAUGGACAAGACCUAGAUGUGUAAGCUAAGAGAGGGUUUAACAUGCACACAAGUUGCAUAGAGAUGCAUGCAGCAACCUGCUUAAAGAUGCAAUAACAAGCUAAUCGGAUGCAUGGGUCUAUCUAAUUACAUGAGUGGAUUGACUUGAGGCAAGAUAACAAAGAGAUGUCUUGGCAUUGGGGCAAGCCUAAUGAAGAUGUGUUGCAUCAUGAAUUAGGUACUUGAGGUGUUGAAAUGUGGAUUGAUGCCUAUGACAACAUUGGUUUUAAAUGGGCUAGGAAUGGGCCAAAGACAUUUGAAAGCUAAGAGUUGGAUUCAAAUUGUGAUUGUAAUAUGAAUUCGAGUAAUUAUAGUUUAAGUAGGUUUAGGAUUACUUACUCCUAGUCAAAUACGGAGUGAUUGGUGCCACACCUAUAAAAAGGAGGACUUGAGAGCCUCCCAAUAGAUAGCAUGAGAGAGAAAGCAUUAACUCAUCAAAGAUAUUGUGAGAGUCUUGUUGAGCUAUGUCUUGGAUUGUUAUUUAGAGAAGAAAUAAAAUACAAGCUAGGGACUUGGGCAUGUAACCUUAUGUGACUUCGUGGGUUUUUCUUUAUUGCAAUCUUGUAUGGGUUUGAGUAGGUUGACUUUAUUAGGAUAGAGCAUUUAAAAGCUUGAUAUGAUAUAAUAAAAUUUGAAAUUUAUUAUUUAUCAAUAAAGUUUCAAUUUCUCUUUUAUUUAUAUUUAUUUCAUGAAUUAUGUCUUAUGAGCAUUCUGGCUUAUUUUUUUACAUUGUAUGUGGCUUGAGUGCAUUAGACAUUAAAUGAAAGAUCCAAGUGAUGAGUUUCUUAUAAACAAAGAUGAAAAUAUGGGUAAUUACAAAUAUAUCGAUACUUCGAUUUUAUGGAUAUAUUAGACAUAUCGGAAAUAUAUCGGUAGAUAUUUUGAUAUAAAAUAUCCAUGAGCCUAAAAUUGAUCAAAACUCAUGAAAAUAUAAGAAAAAACUUUUAGAAAUAAAAUUGAAAGUAUAAUAAGAAUUUUAAAGUUGUUUUGUUGAAGAAAUUGAUAUAUCUAUUAUAUGAUUUGCAAUAUUAAAUUUAAUUGUAUCAUGUUGGUCUAUACGAAAUGUGAAUUUUGUAGGUGUACACUUGUUAUGAUGCUACAUUAAAUAUUUGAUUUCAUUAAAUAUCAAUAAUUUGUACAUAUUACAUUGUAAUGACCCUUUAGUACCAAAAUAAUGAUCGAUAUGGUUCAAUUGAAUUGGUAGAUGAAGGAAUCCUAUCAUAUUAUUAGAGACAAUAUUGGUACCAACUCAUUGAACCUCAAUAGUAUUGAUUAAAAAUUCGAACAUGGCAUGCAUGCAUACAAAAUUUACUAAUUAAUUACAAUUGAAUAUAAAAAUAAAAUUAAAUAAUUAAUUUAAAAUUAACUUAUUGUAAAUCUACUAAUUAUGUGAAUCAAAUAUAUAACUAAGCUAAGUUAAUUUACUAAAUCUAUUGAAAAUUUACUAAUUAAUUAUAUUUUAAUACAAAAAUAAUUAAAAUCUAAAACAAACAUACCUUGUAAUAAAUGAGUAACCUUGGUUUAGAAUUUGGAGUUAAUCCACAAACUUGACUUAUAAAUUCCCAAAUUUAUAAGAAUUUGAGAAUAAUAACAAAAAAAUUAUGAGCAAUAAGAGAUCAAUUGAAGUAUGAAAUGAAAUGUGGAUGAAAUGGAUGAAGAAUGAGCAAUUUAUAGAAAAAAGAAUAGGCAUAAAAUAGCUAUUGGAAUGUUAUUUUAACAUAAGAAAACAAUUCUGGUAGUUGGAUCAAAAUUUGGACAAAAUUUCACUGUUGGAUCAUCAUAUAGCCGUUGGGAUCCCUUUUUAGUUGUUGGAUCACCUCCUAAAUUUAAUCUAGGCCAUUAGAUGAAGAGGUAGAUGACCAUUGCAAUGUGAGUGUGAUUUAUGCUAUCAGAUAAGGCCCCUCAUCCACGUUGAUUUACCCAUAAACAUCGAUGAUUUUUUGUUAAUAAAUCGUUGAUAUAUCGACAAUAUAAUGCAAUGUCAGUUGAUUGAUGCAAUAAAUCAACAAUUUAUUGCUAGUAACAAAUACAUUGGCGAUAUUUGGUGAUUUUUUUUUUAGAAAUUUCUCCUCUUUGAUAUAUCACCACGAAAUAUCGCUUCCAUGGCUCUCUAUACAUGACAUAUCCCAAAAUUUUCAUCCUCAUUUAUAAGUGGAUAAUUUGUUCACAAACGGUUUAUAGGCUUAAGCAACCUAAUAGAGACUGUAGUGAACUAUUCCUAAUUAGAGGGAUCCCUGAUUUUGACCAUCGAGAUGAGUUUCCCAUGGUGAGUGCAUUAGUGGAUAUGGUUACACAUUGGACAAUACCUAUGAUGAGUCAUGACAUCAUAAGGCUGUCAAUUAGUCAUAACUUUACCAAGUUGCUACGUUGUGUUGUCUCUUACCCUUGAGAAAAUCUCAAGCUUAUGCCAAAGUUAGUAAUGGCUUUGACCUACAGUUGACAUUGUAAGAAGAUCAUAUAUUUCUUAUGGAAUGGGUCACUAUUAAUGGAAGUUGGUAGCAACAGGUAUAAAUAGAGGUGCCAUUGAUAUAUCUUAGGAUUGAGAUAGUGUGUCCCCUUAGGUGAUCUAGAGGACAUGUGAUCUAGAAGAUCAUGACUAUAACAUUUCUUUUAGUGGAAAUUUGACAUAUGCUCAUUGGAUCUAGCGUAUGUUAAUUGAUCAAAUAAUAAGUGGGAUCUAUAACUCAAGAAUUAAAGAGGUAAUCUUGAUAUGUGAUAACACUACCUUGUUAAAUUACGAACACCAAUUCAUAGAAAAUCUACAUGAAGUGGAUGGUAGGUCACAAACACAAGCUACAUCUCAUUGUUAUUUACAUAGGGUGUUCAAAUGUAGUUGAUUCUUUAUAGUGACAUGUUGAAUAUGUUAGGAAACCCUGAAUUACUCUGUUUUCAAGCUCUAGAUCAUUAAGGUGCAUAAAAGCCUAUCCUAGGCUUCUCUAGAAGUAUAGUAGUGGAAAAAAUUUGACGUUCAAAACUAACAAAUAUCGCACCAUUAAGGUGCAUAAAAAGCCUAUCCUCGGCUUCUAUAGAAGUAUAGUAGUGGAAAAAUAUGAUGUUCAAAACUAACAAAUACUACAGAUCUAGAAAUUAGUGCCAUUCUUGCAAUUCAAAUGUUCCUAGAUCAAAUCUUAUUGGUGUAAAAUACUCCAAAUUCAUAACAGAUCUCGUAAACACAAGGAUCUUCCACCCGGUGACUUCUUGAGUUUAGGCACUAAGAUGGUGGAGAUCUUAGGGUUGAAAGUUAGUGUUCUUUUUCUAGAUUAUAGGGAGAGAAUAACAAGAUUUAUUUUAUUUUAUUUUAUUUUUUUAGAAACCUUAAUCCCCAAGAGGAGUAUUUAUAGGCUUCCUCCUAGGCUUAAGUGACUCGAGCCCACCAUGGACUUGGGUCACUUAAUUUAGCCCAAAAAGGUUACUAAUUGAUUAAUUAAACCAACAUGACUCUAAUUAAUCAAUUAUCCUAGUCUAGAGAUACGUUCAUUUACCCUUGUACAACUUUACAUAAUUACCAAAAUACCCUUAUUCACACAAGUGAACUAAAAUUUUAUUUAACCCUCAUAAAUUAUGCAUUCAAGAAUAUGAGAUUGAGUAGGGACCACUAGGACCCAUUGAACAAUACUGGCUCCCUCAAAAUCCAAUUCUAAAAUUGACUCAACAUCCCAUUAUAGAGAGUCAAUUGCAUUCCAAUACCCUAUGUAUAUUAUAAUGAGAAACCAAUUGCUCGGGUUCUUAACUUGCUAUCCACUAUAUAUAGUCUUCCCAUGAAUUGGUCAUCUGUAGUCUAAAAAUGUGAAAAUUAUUAUCCUUUUAAGACUAACUCUACUAUCCUUGAGUUACAAAUCAUCUUAUUAUGUGAUCAAAUGACAUACUUUAGCUUACUAAGAGCAUAUAUCAAAUUCCACUAAAGAAAUUCUUGAGCGCUCACAGAUUUCAUGAUCACAUGUCCUUAAGUUCACCCAAGGGGACACGGUCUCAAAGUUUAUAAGAUAUCAUAGUGCCUCUAUUGAGAAUACUAAUUGCUAUUGACUUCCAUCAAUAGUGACUCAAUCCAUAGGGAAUAUAAAAUCAACUUACCAUCUCACCCGUAGGUUAAAGAGUGACCCAAUCCAUAGGGUAUAUAAAAUCAACUUACUAUGUCACCUGUAGGUUAAAACCACUGCUAACUUUUGCACAAACUCAUAUAUUUUGUCAAUGUUGAAAGAUAAUACAAUAUAACAACUUAGUGAAGUCAUGACUACUCAAUAAUCUUAUGUCAUGACCCACUAUAGGUCCUGUCGAAUGUGUAAUCGUAUAUGCUAGUGCACACACCAUGAGAACCUUAUCCCAAUGGCCAAGAUCAACCAUCCCUCCUAUUAGGGAGUGGUGCACUACAACCUUAAAUAAGUUGCCUAAGCCCACGAAUGGAUAUGAACAAAUCAUCUAGUUGCAAGAAACUCAUGACUUGGAUUUUCCGUGUAACUUUUAAUGCACCUAAGUCAUGUAUAAUGUAAAAGAUGCUAGGUCAAAAUGCUCAUAAAGUAUAAUGCAUGGAGUAAGGAUAUAUAAAAGUGAAAUUGGAAUAUCAUUCAAAGAAUAAUGAAUUCCAAAUUUGUUACAUCAUGUCAUGCUUUUAAGGACUUUAUCAUAACAAAAUCAACUUUAGAAUUGGAUUAUGAGAGAGCUAGUAUUCCUAUGGGUCUCAAUGCUCUUUAUUUUGAGCUUAUAUAUCAUGAUGCUAUAGUUUAUGAGGGUUGAAAUUGGCUUUGGGUUCGCUCUUAUGUAUAAUGAUGUUUUGGUAAUUAUACAAGAUUGUAUAGGGGAUAAUGAAUAAGAAUCUUUGGAUUAGGCUAAUUGAUUAAUUAGAUGACCUUUUGAGGCUAAUUAAUCAAUUAUGACCCAAUUUGGGUUAGAUUUAGUGACUUAAGCCCAUGUGGGCUCAAAUGACUUAAGCCCAAUAGGGGAACCCUAUAAAUAACUCUCAAGGGUUAGGGUUUCCCAAUGAUUUUCCAGAGAGUCAUCUUUUACUUCUAAAGAGAGAGAGAGAGAGAGAGAGAGAGAGAGAGAGAGAGAGAGAGAGAGAUAAAGAGAGAUCCAAAGUUUUCUACCUUCCAAAACCCACCUUUUGGAGUGCCAAGAUACUGGUUAGAGUCGUCGAACAUAAGAUCUCAAGUGUACGAUACCUCCAAAGUUUUCAAGUAUCUUCUUCACUACACAAAUUUGAUCCUGGAACAUCUGGAUUAAGGUAAUGUUUUCUAGAACCUUUAAUUUGGAUACUUGAAUGAUAAAAAUUAUGUUUUUUUCUUUUGUUACAUAGGAUCUAGAAGCCUUAAGAUAUGUUUCAUCCACCUAACUUGAGCCUAGGAUAAGGAAUGUAGAGAUCCAGGCAUUGGGCUUUGGAAUUGACUUGUUAUUUAUGGAUUUAGGCCACAUUGGCUAUGAGUUUUACUUCAUCUGGGCCAUGGAUUUAUUUAGUUAUUUGACUUGGGGUUGGGCUUUAUUGGUUUUAUAUUUAGGUUAUUCCAUAUGGGCUUGAAUUUUUGUUCUUAACUCUAGUGUUUUUUUUUUUUUUUCCUGUUUUGCAUGGGUAUUGGUUGAGGACUUUGGCUAAGUUGUGGAUAUGUGAUGCUUGAGGGCCAGAUUGCAUGGAAGAAGUGAAGGUUCACUAAAGUUAUAUUUAAGGGCAUAAAACCCUAGGAUGCUAUAGAGUUUUAGAAGAGGAUUCUCAUUUUAGGUUUGUUUUUUUUUUUUUAGUAUUUAGUGAGAGAGUAGAGAGAGUUGUACUUUAUUUUGAGCUAACAUUGGUGUUAUAGAGGGCCAUUAGGGUUGUUUUGCUGCAAACUUGUAUUAGGUAUAGUAUCAUAUUUUCCCAAAUUUUAUUAUAGAAAUUUCUUUUUUGAAACCAAGGUUUGGUUAAUCUCAGUUUUGAUGAUAACAAAACAAAGUUUAGAACUAAUGAUUAUAUUUCAAGUGCGAUUAGACAAGACGAUUUCCAAAGUGGCAAUAAAAAGAUAAAUCAAGCCAAAGAGAAAUCAUUAAGAAGAAGAAGACCUCAAAGAGAAGUGUUUUUUAAGGCCCAAGCUUGAUAAGAUCUCUUUGUAAGGUUGUUGGUGCACUAGGAUUUUCAUGCAUUAUAUUAUUUACUUAUACACUAAAAUCAUUCAAGAGUUUUUUUAUUUGCUUUCCCACUUGACAAGCUUCACAAAUUUUCUCUUUUUGAAAAUUUAUUUUGGGAAGGCCUCUAACAAGUUCAUCUUUGUUGAGUUGGUAAAUGAGGUCCAUGUUAGCAUGUCCCAACCUCCUAUGCCACAACCAACUUUGAUCAUGCAUGCUUGAAAAGCAUCUAUCAUGGUCAUCAUGUUUUGAAAUAUUUAUAGCGUAAACAUUAUCACAUCUAUGGUCCAUGAAGAUGGUUUUAUCAUUUUGAAUAUCUUUGAUAAUGCAAUGAGAUGCUUCAAAAAUCACUUUAAAACCUUUGUCACAAAGUUGACUAAUGCUUAAAAGGUUAUAUUUUAAACCAUCUACUAAUAAAACACUUUCAAUGAGAGAGGAUGUGUCAAUACUAAUGUUGCCUUGACCAAUGAUCUUUCCUUUUGCAUUGUCUCCAAAGGUAACAUAUCCUCCCUUUUUCUUUGUAAGAAAAGCAAACUUGGAUUCAUCUCCAAUCAUGUGUCUUGAGUAUCCACUAUCUAAGAACAACUUAUCAUUCUUUGAACCCUACAACAUAAAACUCAAGUUGAUUAAGGUAUUCAUAUAUUUUUGGGUCUUUGAGGGUUAGUGACCUUGGAUUUUUCCAUCCAAAACUUUUAACUUUUGCAUUUGAAUUCUUUUGAGAACCAUUUCUUAAAGGGCAUGUACUACUAAUGUGUCCUCUUCUUACACAAAAGUUGCAAGUAGUGAAAAGACUUGCACUCAUGGAUUCCUUUACAAAAUAGUUUUUAAAAUACUUUUAAUUUUUUGAAGAUUUGAAUCCUAGCCCUUGUUUGUCAAAAAAACAUUUUUGGCUAGCUAGAAUCAUUUCAAAAGAUUUUUCUCCACAAGAAAAGAUUGAAAGAGAGGAGGUUAACCAUUCAUUUUUCUUUCUUAAAAUCUCAUUCUCUUUUUCAAGAUGAGUUUUAGAAACUUCAACAUUUGAAAAUUUUUGUUUUAAUCCUCAAAGUUCUUUUUCAAGUUGUUGAAUUUUUUUUUUAAGAGAGAUAUUUUUCAAACCGAGUUUUUUAAAAUCCUCAUGGAGCAGCUUUUGGAAGACCUUUUAGAUGAUGUCAAGUAUUUACUUGACCUUGGCCAAUAAAUAGAAACUUGAAUUUCUCAUGUAAGGACUUUUGAGACAUUUUUUAUUGUAGGAUUUUCUAUAUUUUGUUUCUUAAUAGAAUUUUCUAUUUUCCUUCAUUUUCUCACUAGUCAAACAUGCAUUGUGAGACCAAAUCUCCAAGCAUGAGUGGCUAAAUCUUGUUUUUCUUGAAGGAAGGAGGAUCUAGAAGUGAGAUCCAUGGUGAAUUAGAGAAAUGAGCUUGAAUUGCAAAGGUAAUUUGAUCCAAUUGAUUGAUUACUUGAAUUUUGGGGCGUUUUCUCUUCAAAUUAUUUUGAAUGACUAUUACAUUGCAAACUAGAUAGAUUCAUUAAAUUCUUAAAGUUAGAUUUAAUGAGAUCGAAUAGUUGUAUUGUAUGAAUCAUUGGAAGAUGAUUUAAGAUAAAUUGAAUAUAUAGUUUAAAUUGAUUUCUUGGAUUAAAUAAUUUAAUUUGAAGAGAAAUUAAAUCUAGACUUAAAACUAAAUCUAAAAUCAGUUUAAAUGAAAAUUUAAAUUUUCGUUCUAAUUUGAUAAAAAAACACAUCUCAACAUGUAUUUAUCAUGGAAAUUAUUUUCUAGAAAAUCAUAACUCUGAUAAUUUUAUUUUCUAUUAAUUUUUUUCUAUUUUACAUUUUAUUAUUCUUCUCAAUCGGAAACUAGGGUCAUUUUGAUUUUUCAUCAUGAAUUGUCAAAUCAAUUUCACUUUAUUAUAACCAUUUAUUUUCCUCCAUUCAAGUCUUAAUUGCCAAGAAUAAUCCAUCAUAAUGAACGACAUCUAAUAAACUACGACUGUUUGUACUAAAACUAUUUUUGAUUGGACACAAGAUAUUCUAGAAUAGUAAAUUAAGUUAUAAAUUAUGUUUUGAUACGAUAAAUGAUAAAAAAUCAAUCAAUCAGGGUAUUAACAAUCAGGUGUGUAGGGACCCCUCCCUCUGGGAAACACGUGGCACGCAUCUCACAGUGACACGUGGCACGUGUUAUCAGCUGGACCAUCAUCAUCCGGAUUCUCCUAAGGAUAUGCAUGAUGCAGUUCUCACACCCGGACCACCUCAAGGAAAGGCAAAUGACGUUUCAGCUUCUCCUAUCCAAAGAAGAGCAAACGACGCUGGCAAAGCAUAGACAUCCGGACAACCUUCAUAAUGCAUCCGCUCCACAAUGCAUCCGGAUAAUCAGCAUGUGCCAUCCGGAUAUAAUCGUCCGGAUCAUCAAUUAAAGUAUAGCGAGUCUUACACGCUAUCACAACAAACGACCAUGACCCACAUCCUGUCACCUGCAGAGUGAAAAGACAAGAUGAAAUGACAGCAAGUCACUUCCCACGAUCAUUCUACACGAUCACAUCCCACGAUCUUUGACAGCCGCAUCACCUACCAUGGUUUCUGACAGCCGCUCAUAGGGUGAUGAUGCUCCUACUGACGCCUAUUAUCAUCAUAACAACAUAAAAUAUCUCCUCACCAUUAAUGAGAGGAACAGUGCUUAUGAAGCUGUAUAUAUAAGCCUUCACACAAAGAGGAAGGCGACCCCCUGGUAACCUCUUGAUACCUAAAAAAAGGCCAACUGUUUUAUAUCUCUCUCUCUGACCAUGGCUAACAAAACCAUCGGAGGGUGCGUCCGGACACCCUGCCCGGAUGCCUUCUUGCAGGUAUAACGACUGGAUCAAGAACCUUUGUGUGUUGAAAUCACGUGUCCAUCCAUCUGCCAACCACGUGGAUCGUCAAAGGCGUGAGGUAACAACAUUGGCGCCGUCUGUGGGAAUUUUCUUACUUUGAUUCAGUCACUAAAAAGAUGGCCACACCUUCCCGAAGCCAAUCCUCUGGUAGAGGAGAGGAAGAUGAUUUCGAAUGGCGUAAAGCCAUCGAAAGGAGACAGUUGGCAAGCGAAAAACAACUGAAAGCUCUCCUCCAGGAGACAGAAAGGUUAAGAGAAGAAAACGUUGUGUUACGUAUCCAGGCCUCAACGUCAGGGCCUCCUCGACGACAGCGUUCAAGGGGCCAAGUAGCAGACUCAAGGCCUCAACAAGAGCCGGAAUCAAUAUAUCCUGGGACAACAGGAGCCAUCCCAGGAGCAUACAACGUGAGGCCUCAUGAGCCACGCACGCCUAUGCCUCAAGCUCCCCGUGAGGAAAGCUCAGACUCUACUCACUUUUCAGCAAAAAGACAACGUGAUAAAAAAUCCCGGUUGUCAAACUCGAUGCGCGCAAGACUAUGCCCACAAGAGCCUGGAAGAUCAAGGCCACCAAUGGCCACAACCUGGGCACCACGCCCUGACCCCAUAGCCACCCCCAUGGUGCAAAACGUUCAUCCGCAUCGUGACCCCGUAGUCACCCCGGUGAUGCGGAACGUUCAUUCGCACCCAGCGGAACAACCAACUGGGAGAAACAUCCCAAACGGGCCACCUAUUGGCUCCAUCAGCAAAAGGCUGGAUGACAUGCUCUCCACGCCUUUCUGCUCUCAUAUCAUUAAUUACGAGCCCCCAAGGGGAUUCCUCGUACCAAAAUUCUCCACAUACGAUGGAACCAACGAUCCCUUCGAUCACAUCAUGCAUUAUCGACAGCUCAUGACGCUCGAUAUUGGCAACGAUGCACUACUAUGCAAAGUAUUUCCCGCCAGCCUACAAGGGCAGACCCUCUCAUGGUUUCAUCGCCUACCUCCCAACUCUGUUGACAAUUUCAGGGACCUAUCUGAAGCUUUCGUGGGACAAUACUUGUGCUCUGCUCGACACAAGCAGAAUAUCAGCACCCUCCAGAACAUAAAGAUGCGAGAUAACGAAUCCUUGAGGGAGUUUGUGAAACGAUUUGGCCAGGCUGUACUUCAGGUAGAUCCUUGCAGUAUGGAUGCUGUCCUACAGAUCUUCAAACGAAGCAUCUGUCCAGGCACUCCAUUUUUCGAAUCACUGGCUAAAAAGCCUCCUACUACGAUGGAUGACUUAUUCAGACGAGCCAACAAAUAUUCAAUGCUCGAAGAUGACGUACGUGCAGCCACCCAGCAAGUUUUGGUUGCUGGACGGCCAUCUAGAAGUAACUCGGAGAGAGAUACUAAACCUCCGGAUCGGCCAAAACCAUCUGAACGAAGGCAGGAAGGGCCAAGUCGCCCGGAAAUGCCGCCUCUCACACCUCUUUCCAUAUCACAUGAGAAGCUUCUCCCGAUGAUCCAGGACUUGUCCGACUUCAAAUGGCCUAGACCCAUUGGAACGGACCCAUCCA